RNAcentral lists this long non-coding RNA (48139 nucleotides) under Lactuca sativa (garden lettuce). Its description in RNAcentral is "long non-coding RNA (LSAT_LNC000845)". Lineage: Eukaryota; Viridiplantae; Streptophyta; Magnoliopsida; Asterales; Asteraceae. The record is from RNAcentral.
ACACCCCAAAAUCAAGAACUGCGGAAACGUUCUGGGGCGGAGGACGUCAUGUACAGUAUCACAACAAUUUAAAGUAGUAAACGAGCAACAACAUCAUCCAUUGCAUUAAUAAUAUGAUUAUUAUACAAGUGUCUUCUGUCAAAUUUUGAUAAACACUAAAGCAUAAAUCAAAAUGAAAGAUGAGUCUUCAACGAGCUCCAUCUUCCCUAAUCCUUGCAUCGGUACCUGUCUAUGAUGACCUGAGGACACGAGUAAUUUUGAAAGCGAGUAUCAGCUUUAAAGCUGGUGAGAUCAUAAGUAUUUUAGUGUCUUAAUUUGUAUGUAAGAAUUUGUAAGUAUUAAAAUGUAUAUGAACUGUAAGUGUAAAAAUGUUUAUAAAACAACUGUAAACGUUUGAAAAACCCUAGAAAUCCCUAUGAUUCCUACUAUUAUGUAAACGGUGUCUUCUACCAAGACCUAGUUGUUUUCAAUGUAGUCUUCUACCAAGACUUAACUGUUUUAAAUGUUCGUUUCUUGUAAAAGUGUGUAAUUUUCCCAAGUGUAACUAUCAUUAACAAAAUAUAGUUUUUACAUUUAAAGUGUAAGUGAAAAAGGAUCACUAAUUAUAUGUGGAGGGAAAAUUAAUGUAGUACUAAAAUGUAGCGCUAUAAGAACCACUGGUGUACUAACUACCUUAAACCGGAUUUAUAUUAAGGCAUCAUGUGAUUAAUUGUACCAUGCUAUUGACUGGUAACAACGACAUAAGAAUGGUCGUAAAACGGAAUGACGUUUGGCACCCGCAGACCUGCGGGUCCGGCUGUAGCUAGCAGCAAGGUGUAGGAUAGUCUGUCCAGUAAAGAUCUAUAUGCAAACUCACGCUCUCCCUCCAAGAGACUCUGGAAAAAACUCAGGCCAUCACAUUUAAGGCAUGCUCCGAUAUACUGGAUCACAAUUAUUAACGUAUUCGUGUACAUGUAAUGUAAUGAACUGUUCUAGCAGUAAUGUACAUGCUCUCUACCUAGCAAGUAUAGUAAUGUACUGUAAUGUUCUAGCUGUAAUGUACGUGCUCUCUACCUAGCAAGUAUAGUAAUGUACUGUAAUGUUCUAGCUGUAAUGUACGUGCUCUCUACCUAGCAAGUAUAGUAAUGUACUAUAAUGUUCUAGUUGUAAUGUACGUGCUCUCUACCUAUCAAGUAUAGUAAUGUAUUGUAAUGUUCUAGCUGUAAUGUACGUGCUCUCUACCUAGCAUGUAUAGUAAUGUACUAUAAUGUUCUAGCUGUAAUGUACGUGCUCUCUACCUAGCAAGUAUAGUAAUGUACUGUAAUGUUCUAGCUGUAAUGUACGUGCUCUCUACCUAUCAAUUAUUGGCUCAUGAAUGAACUGACUCAUUGUAUGAUAUCGUGUUCUAGUAAUGGUUCUAGUAAUGGUUCUAGUAUCUUCCUAAACUACCCAUAUGGUAGUUUACUAGUAAACUAACUGGUACGUAUGGACAUGGAUGUAUACCCUUGCCACCCAUGGACAUGGGAUGAACCGGAAGGGCCUUUAUGACUAUAUAUGUACACAUGAUAUAUAACUAAUAUUUAAACUACCUCCGGACGAGUACCCGAUAUCCUAUCAGACCACAUCCAAAUCGAGGAAAAGGAAACAAGGUGGAUAGCCUUCCUAAGUCUUUUAAACAUUACUUAUAUAACUAUACAUAUAGAGGCAUGCAAUUUAUAAUAUAAAAGCAUAAAAUUAGUUUUGUAAAACCUUUGAACAUAAUUUUUAUUUUAAGAGAAUUCUGACUUGAUGUCAAUCGAUAAAACAGUUUGAAGUGAAAACAGUUUGAAGUAAAACGAUUUGGUAAUAGCUUGGAGUAAAACGGAUCGGAGUAAAAUGGUUUGAAAAGGAUAAUACAGUGUGUAAUGAACAGUUUAAUAAGAAUUUUUAAACAUAUAAAACAUUUAAGAAAAUCAUUUGAAGAACCUGUUUGGUAAAACGGUUAAUGUGUAGUAAAUCAUUUGAAUGCUGCAUAUUAAUCACAUGUGAUUGAUAUAAUAACUAGCAUAAUUCUGCUUAUUAAUCACAUAUGAUUGAUAUAAUAACUAGCAUGAUUCUACUUGUAUCCCUCCACAAAACAUUUAAAAGCAGUUUAAAACAUUAAUUAAGGGGUAUGAACUCACCUGUAGUAAGUGAUUGGAAUUGAACGGACUGUUAUCGUAAGGAAGGAUCGGACAAGUGCUUGGUGUCAAGUGAAGACUUUAGACACACACAAUGAUCCUAAUUACAUAUGAAGACAUAUGUAUAUAAAUAAUUAGUGAUUAAAACACUAAUUAUACAAGUAUAAACAUUUUAAUUCGAGGAAAACACUUUUGGUCAAGUGCUAGGAGGCAAAUGGGUUGCAACAAUGGAGUGCAAUGCCUCUAAUGGGAGUUUAUGGUCAAAAGACCAUAUGUUUUUGAGUUUACGGCCCAGGGGAGUAAACUCCUGGCCGUAAACUAUCACUUAGGUCACAAAAUGAAGCUUAACUUUAAAACAACUUAAGUGGUGAAGAGCUUCUAGUCUUAAACAAGUGUUUGGGCCACUUUUUAACUCCAUUUAGGAGUUCACGGCCUUCGGACCACUCCCCCAUGAGUUUACAGCCGUAAACUCAAGGUAAGGAGUACCAUUUUAUGGUUUGAGGUUCCUAACAUUUCAAGGUUAUGAUCUAUGUUGGGUUCUAGGCAUAAGGAAGGAGUUAGGGUGUCAUUUGACCCCUUUAUAGGGGUUUACGGCCCAAAAACUUGUCUUCGACGUAAACUCCUCAAUACUUAUGAUUCCUUAUGUUUUCUAGGCUAUAAACUCUUUAGGGUACAUGUCUAAAUUCAAGCCUAAGCCUUAGGAAGUGUUUGUGGCAUCAAAACACCCCUAACUAGAGUUUUCGGCCCAUAAACCAUUUGGCCAUGUGUUUGUGGCCGUGAACACCCAUAGGUGUUUGUAUUUUGACUGUUUUGGGUCCUAGAUACAUCAAGGUAAUGUGCUAUGCUAGUCUCUUGGCUUAAUGAAGGCAUUUAGGGUAUUUUGGAAACCUAAAAUGGAGUUCACGGCCCAAGAACUUCCUUGGCCGUGAACUGACUUUCACCUUUGAUUCUUAAUUGUUUUGUGGACUAAACAUUGUAAUGAAGGCUUCUAGUUUGAGUUCAAAGGCUUUGAGGGUCAUUGGGACUCUUUUCGCCAUUAAAAUGGAGUUUACUCCCCAAGUGUUCUUGGGCGGUAAACUCCCAAAUCUUGGGGUUUUGGUCCGAUUUUGAUGUUUCUAAACACAAUCUAAGCUAUAAAAUAUAACUAGAUCGAAGUACUCACAAUUUGGGAUAAAAACCCGAAGAUCUGUGAGAGACAAUUUUGACUUUUCUCUAAAUGGAGAUGUAACUAAUGAACCAAUAUGGUUCAGUUUUCUAUAUAUAGUCCUGGGAUUUUUGGCAGAAAAUAUUUUUAUUCCCGGAAUGAACUCUAAUAUCUUAGAGUAUUGGAAUAACAGUGUUUCACAAAACCCUAGUGCAUCCACUCUCCUGAUAUCUCCUUAAGUGUAAAUCCUGAAAAACUGCUAAACUUAUACUCGAAGUCUAGAAUUUCACUGAAACUGUUCUAACUCCUAUUGGUUUGAUAUGGUUUGUUCAGAAUGGAAAUUUCGGGUUGUCACAUUAUUUGUAAUAAAUCCAGAAGAGGAAGCCGGAUGAGGUUCAAGUAGCCACAGGAUCGGGCAAAAGGCCCAAGGGGUCAGAUUCGAGAUCGAGGGAUUACCAGAGUCGUAUUCGAUGCGAGAGGUGCGGCAGGACGCACGAGGGUGCGUGUAGGAGUGGUAGUGGUAGAGAUUCGGGCUACUUCAAGUGCGGCCGGACUGGUCAUUUUAGCAGAGAUUCUACUGCUACCACCACGCAGGGAUCAAACCUGAUAUGUUUUCACUGCAGUCAACGAGGCCACAUGAAGGCCCAGCGCCCCAAUUUUCUUUCGGCGGGACGGGUGAUAGCACAUAUCCCUACAACUAUGAGGAUCACAGACGGUUGUUAGGGCCAAGCAGAGGGGCAUGCGGUAGGAGGCAGUGCUUUUUAGAAUUGGGCGGCUUGCUUGUGAUUUAGUUAUAUGCGAUCUGCAUACCUUGGAUAAUAAAAUGGUAGUUAGGGGGUUCUGCCCUUUGGAAGCAGGAAACUUAGGAUGCAGUAACUAUAGCAUGCUUGUGUGGAACUCUGUAGUGACCCACUGGAUUCAGAAAGGUGUUAUUGAGUGAUGGAUCGGUUAGAUCCCUAGCUAUAGCAAGCUCGGUUCUUCAGCAGAUUGAUUGCGCUAUAGCAGAGAAGAUUGGGAAUUCUUCGCGAGCAUUGAGCAGUGAGGUAGGCAGGAUCAAAGUGGGGGAGAACCCUCCGAGAGUACAGGGGUAAGAGCAUGCAGAUCCAGGAUGAGUACGUGACCUCUAAGAAGGAAAAGAAGUAGCACAGCGAUGGAUGGAUUGAUGAGUUCAGGGUUGGGAGUUUGAAAAACAUCCCUAUAGAGAGUUCAUGUAAUCGAGAUAAUGGUUGGAAUUUCAGGAUGGAGGAUCGCCUGUAGGACUCGAGUGAGUCGGAAUGACGAUUUUGAGAACGUUUAGCAUGGGAUGCUUACGUGUUAAUGGUUAGAGGCAGAGAUAACAUGUAGAGCAUGGUAGGGCAGCGGGAGAGCCGCAACAUUUUUCUAGCAGCAAGCAAGUGGUGGAAGGUGUUGUAAGACUACGAGGUAGCCAUAGCAUUCACCAGCGGCCAGUUAGCAUGGAAGGUAUUGUAAGAAUACGGGUAAGCCGUAGCAUUCCCUAGCAGCAUAGUUAGCGGAGAGUGGGCGGGGGCCUGUAUCUCCUAGUUAGCGGAGUUUCGACGAUGUCCUUACCUCUUAAUGAUCAAGGUAAGGAUCAGGAAUGGACAGUUGAUGAGAAUAGCAUGGAACUAGCCUGCAUAGCCCUAGAAAGGUGAGGCCUUGGGAGAGGCCGCUCCAGGAUAUAGUUGGGUGAGACCCGUGGGCGAGGCCCGUAGGUGAGUAGCAGUAUAGGUGAGACCUAAGAGCAAGGUUGCUCGGUAGUAUAUAUUCGGGUGAGACCCGUGGGCGAGCCCGUGAGUUUUAGUAGCACAGGUAGGACCAGGUAAGGACCUUAGGGUAAAGUUAGGCGAUUGAGGAUCCCAGGAUUUGUAGGGCCAGAGUGGCAGGGUAAAUGGAGUAGUAUUAGGUGGCCGAAGUUUCUUCGGAAGUCGCUGGGAGCGACUGAGAGAUAACGAUGGGACUAGCGACCGGUAGGAGUCCGUUAAUUCAGAUAUUGAUAGAUUAGUAGGGACCAGGGUGGUCUCGGUUCAUCCGGAAGGCGGAUAAGGAGCAGCAGAAAAUUUCAGCAAGUGGUAGUGAUGGUAAAAAGGCCACGAUGCAAGACAACUAAUUGAUCAGAGAGUCUUAUGCAUCCCACAACAGGGUUGGAUAAUCUCAGAGGGAAGGAUUUGACCCUGUUACGCAGCUCUUGUUUGAGUCUAACCGUUGCAAGGAUGAGUCUUUUACUCGAAGGAUUAUCCGAACCAUUCGUUGUGGUGGGUGCUCAACACUAAGAUAUGGUAGUAAGAAGUAUCCAGUGGGUACUGGAAGUAAUGACCGCUCUGGAAGUUGUAGGAGUAAUGGAUUCGGUGAAGGAUAAGUCCUGCACAGCGAUAAAGGAGGUAGGUGGUUAUGGAACGUUGCCUUGGGGAGACCGGAAAACGCACUAGGAAAAGGGCGUGAACCCCUAGGAUGUGCAGCAUAAGUACUCGAGGAGUACUGGAAGGAUCGUCGGUUAAGAGAGUUGUAUUCGCGAGAUUGUUAUUUGCAAGGUCUAGUGUCAUUCUGAAUGACCGGGAGGAAGGCCAACGAAGGUAGUCAGCGGGUGUUAGGUCUACCAAGCAGAGUGUUGAAAGCAGAUUGUAGGGCGAUUGGCCGUAGAGAAACUUCGAGGACAAAGUUUAGUUUAAGUGGGGGAGAGUUGUAACACCCAGAAUCAUAUAGACUAAGAAAGGAAAGGAAAACGCUAAGUCAAGGGGUCAACUCGUCGAGUCAAUAGGUGAACUCGACGAGUCGGAGCGGGAUCCGGGUUAUGGAAUAAGUGACCGACUCGACGGGUCGGCAAGUAGACUCGACGAGUCUGGUCUGAUUGAGGAAAGCCCUAAUCUGAGGGUUUGCACCCUAUUUAAAGGACCUUAAAUCCUCUCCUUAGUCCCCCUUGUCGGCCAUAAGCUGCUAUACAUGAUUCCAAACCCGAAGUUGUGUGAGAGAAGGAAGAAAUUGAGUUUGGGGCUUUUGCAAGAGGACGAUUUGGAGGAUUUGACCACUAAGGAGCUGGAGGAUCCAACCCUUUUAUUGUGAGCAUCAGUUUGAAGGUAACAAUCUGUCACCUUGCCUUUGUUGCUUCUAGAUCUUCUCAUGGAUGAUGUUUUGGUGCCAUUUUGGUAUGAUAAAGAGCCAUUUUGAGUUAGAAGUCCAUAUCUGAGGUUGCUACUUCAGAUCUAGGUGUGUCUUGGCCCAGAGAUCCAUAAAGUAUCAGUUUUUGGUGUCUUGGUAAAGCAUGUUUGCCCCAAAACCUAGCCCUAGAGUGUUUUAAGCAUAUAUUUGAUUAAGCAAUUGUUGAGGACAAUCUAAGGUUUACCAAAGAUUGGUUGAUCACGGACAGUUGGAAAUAUAGUGUUAAUUUUGGAAGAUCCAUAUUGACAUAUCCUGAAAAGAUGAAACUCUUGUUCUGGAGUAAUAGUGAAAAGGGGAAUAUCAAAAUGCUCCCAUAAGUGGAAGUUAUUCAUUAAAUCUACGUAAGAUUAGGAAACUUAAUGCAAGAAGAAUGUUCAAAGGCAAUGAACUUUGGAUAUGAGACUUCGGUUCCGUGGAGUUGAUCUCCAUUGGAAUAAUCUGUAAUGUCAGUUGACAAGUCUUUGUGACUUUGUGCAUAAUCAUUACAAGAGGACUAAUGCAUAUAAGUUUACAAUCUAGUAGAUUUAGGUAAAUGGUAGGAAUUUGGAAUGCUUGCAUUAGCGGUAAGGAUUUGGGAUUGUGAAUUGAGUAUCACUGGAAUUAUGUUCAAUCCAUCUAUUUCAAAGAGUAAAGAUCAUAGACAAACUUAGUGUGCAUACUUGGUGUAUGGAGUAACUAAUGUUUGGAAAAACAUAGUGUGCAUACUUGGUGUAUGGCAUGACUAGUGUUUAGAAAAACAUAGUGUACAUGCUUGGAGCAUGGAACAACUAUUGUUUUUAAUUCAAGUAUAAAGUCAAUAGUUUGAAACAGUAUGCAAUGAAUGAUGGGUAAUCAAUAUGGUGAUAAAUAAAAGACGUUUUAUUUAUAUUCAUAAGUUCUGAGACCAUAUUGGAUUCGAUUAUUCUUGUGUUUCACUUUGCAUGUUUUGACCUCCAGAAUAACUAAGUCGCUCUUCCUGAAUGACUAAGUUAUUCAAACCAUCCACAGUCGGUCAUAUGUUUGACGUAGAUAUGAAUCAAGACUAUCAUGAAGCUGGAUUGUAGAUGUCCAAGGUAUGGGAUAUAACAAGGAUUUUUGCAACAUUCAUGAGUGCUCAUAAGUUCUGGGUAUUGGAUUCAACCCACGCUCACUGGUUUCACUUCAUGGAAUUUAUCUCGAGUGAUCGUGAGACGGUAUUAUCAUAUAAGUCUUCAAACCUAGGGAUAUGACUUGUUGCGUAUGAGUUGGUUAUACAUUGAUUUUACGUAAACGCAUUGGUAACUCGAUGUUAUAAAACGUGCCUUUGUGUAUGAUUCAACAAGUAGUAGAACAAGCAUAUGAGUCGAAGUUUAUCUAUUCCUUCUUAGAUUGGAAGCGAUAUUUGGGUCCCUUGAUGAUUUUGUGUUGACCCAUGUACCGGGCCCGGUCAGAACUAAGUUGACGUGUUUACAUAAGUUCUUUGUCAAACAAAUCGGAAAUCAAGAAACAAACUGCUGGACAAUAAGUAAGACAUUGUUCCAUGUAUUUGUCAGGCUGAUAUCUAGAACAGAUGAUUGUAUGAUCACUUAUCUUAAAUGGAGUAUCAUCGUCAUCUCAGUUCCACGAGACCUUGAAAGAGCUAUGAUUGCUGAUCGGUUCUUAAAGUUAUUCUUGCAGAUAUAAUUAUUAGACUUAUCCAAGUGGGAGACUGUUGGAUUAGGUGUCUAAGUUCAUAACUAUUAUGGAAUGUACUUGACCCGAUUAGCAUGAUCUAUUUGGGUUGCAUGGCAUCAUCCAUUUGGAUAGACCAAAAUGAGAGAAAUAUCACUUAAGGUUUAUUAAUAUAUUAUAAGUUCUAAUAUAUUAAUAAUAUUAUUUAAUUAGUGUUGAUCAAGAAUUAAUUUGAAAUUAAUUAAGUGAUCAAAAGAGACUAAUUAAAUAUAUGGGUUGAUUGUGUAAAUCACCCAUACUUGUAUAGUGGGCUAAUGCUCCAUGGAUUAUGAAGUUGUGCUAAAACCCAUAGGAUGCUCUAUGGGUGCUCCAUGGUGUCUUUGAACCCAUGGAUCAUGGAAAUUAAGAGCCAUGUCAAGUUAGGGUUUCCAUAGUGUAACCCUACUUAUGACACACUAUAAAAGGAAUAUGUGAGCAACCAAAAUCGUCACUAGUGUGAGAACAAGAGGGCAUAGCCGAUUUUAGAAGUGUUCUAUUUCUCACAAGGUUAUUCCAAAUAUAUUUGGUGUUGUGUGAGACAUUUGUGGCAUCACACUUAAGGUGCUAGGCUCAUAAGGUUUUCAAGGAUCCAAACUACAAAAAGUUAUGUUUUUCUUCUAGCAUUUAUGUUUAAAAGUUCCACAUGAUAUGCUAAAUAGUUUAAGAACCUUGGAAAAUCAAUUUUGCAUGUAUCAUAGUAAAACAUAGAUCCAAGGUUUCUAGGGUUUCAUGUACACCUUAGGAGUGUUAGAGUGCUCCAAACCCUUCAUAUAUGUCAUUUGUUUGAUAUUAAAUUUUCAGGGACCACAGUCUAGGUUUAUCUGUUGGGUUGACAAAGCAAAAGACAAUUAUUCAUUGAUAAUCUGUAACUUAGUUCGAUCAAAGAAGAAGCUUGAAACAAAAAUUUGCACUUGAAGAUAGCGUUAUGUUAGUCCCAAACCCUUUGAAGGUUCAUACAUCAGAUACAAACAAGAAUGAACAAUAAAUGAACAAAUGAUUAUCACAAAUAUGUUUUCACUAUGAAAAGGUUCACACAAAGUGAGGCAUAAUGGACUAUUUGGGUUUAACCCUAAUAGUACAAUAUACGAUUAUAGAAACGAAGAUCCCACUAUUUUGGGGAUGUAUACUUAUAUUUCUAAAGGUAUGACACUCAUCACCAAGAUUAUGGAUCAGAUACCUAUUCUAUAUUUGUAGAGUAUAUCUACGUAAUAUACAAACGAUCAUUAAGAUCAUUAUGAUCACGUUGUCAUGGAUGAAGUUGGAGCUGGCAUUGGUGGGUAGCGCGUUAUGUAUUUGAUUCGUUAUAUCAUAAGUGGUGACAUUACACAUUAAUUUGUAGUUAGAUUUUCUUUUUUGGAAUUUUUGUCUACAAGUUGUAAGCUUUAUGUUCAUCAACUAGGUUUAUGCAACACUUAUUACUUAAUCUAUGUAAUAUGUAAUGUUCUCUUAUUUGUUAUUAUUAACAUGGUACUUGUAAAUUAGGUUUUUUCUAUUUUUCUAAUAUGUAACAAAUAUUAGGCCAAUAAUCAUAUUUUCCUUUAGAAACUGCAAAUCAAUUAUAAACAUAAUUAAUAGCAAUUACAUUGGCAAUAAAACAACCAUUAAUGGGUAUGGUAUAUCCUAUUCUGAUGGAGGGGGAAGAGGGCGCAUGGUUUGUUUCUAGUAGACAGUCUGAAACAUAUCAGCCUAAUAAUAUACUUGAACCAUAUCAUGUAAUUAAUGGAUAUUCGAAUGAUGUGAUGUCGCAAUUGCAUGACUACAUGCUAUACACAGACUGCACCAUUUCCUACAUGAAAAUCUAUGACAGUUCAAAUCUACAACACAAGUUUUUUUAAAAUUAGAAACUCGAUUGUCAGAUAGGAACGGAGACGAGAUCUAUGUCGGAAUCUUUGUUCCUUGCCCCCCAAACAGACUUUUGCAUCCUUUUAUCACGCACUAUAUCAGCAAACAAGGUGAGUACGACAGUCAAGCUCUCUGAAAUGUAAAUUUGAUCAAAUAAGGUUCUUGUAAAAGUAAUUAAAUAAUUUAAUAUUGCACCCGACAUUUUACCUGCCAUUAAACUCAUUAAACGAAAGUACGUUGAAUGUAGUCACACCCAGAAUCCAAAAGACCAAGAAAGGAAAGAAAAGCCCUUAGUGAAAGGAGUCAACUCGUCGAGUUCAAGGAAGAACUAGACGAGUUGGAGCCGGCUCCGUGUGGAAGAAAAAGUGACUGACUCGACGAGUCGGCGAGUGGACUCGGUGAGUCUGGUCUGGGUUGGGAAACCCUAAUUUCGGGACUUGGUACCCUAUUUAAGCGUCUUAUUCUCUUCCCUAGGAUUCAUUUUAAGCCUCUCUCGUCCGGAACCCAAAACCCUAGCCACCCAACUCCAUAGUUUGAGCUUUUGAAGAAGAUUAAGGGCCAUUGGAGUGCAAAUUUUCGGUUUUGGGGUGUGACACAUGUCUUCGCGUUCCAUAUGAUCCAUCUAUGCCCUGCGUACACCAAGCUUACACCUAGUGUACAACCUCGGCUAAGCACACUCAUAAAGGCCCAAUCCACUAAUACCAACACAACUUACAUGAUUAAUACAAUUAAUUAAAUAAUACCUUAGAACGUAUUCCGCCGUUCUCGAAUUUGGGGUGUGACACAUGUCUUCGCGUUCCAUAUGAUCCAUCUACGCCACGCGUACACCAAGCUUACGCCUAGUGUAUGCCCCACGUACACUAAGCUUACACCUAGUGUCCUCCACCCCAUAACGUAUUCCGCCGUUCUCGGUUUUGGGGUGUGACACAUUUCUUCGCGUUCCAUAUGAUCCAUCUACGCCCCGCAUACACGAAGGUUACGCCUAGUGUACAACCUCGGCUAAGCACACUCAUAAAGGCCCAAUCCACUAAUACCAACACAACUUACAUGAUUUAUACAAUUAAAUAAAUAAUACCUAAGAACCGUCGGAUGUUACAAAUCUAUGACAUUUACUGUUUGGAAUGACUACACAUAUUGUCAGGAAUCUAUGACAGUUACCGUUCUGAAUGCCAAUACAUAGUGUAUGCAAUGAACAAAGGUUCAAAGCCUAUGAGGAGGCAUCCUAGGUUCAUUUUAAGGUUCAAAAGCAACGUCCGGAAUGAGGGUCCGAAAUAGCCAUUCUGGAAUAUGGCGUUGGAAUGUGGUUUUGGAAUAGUGUCAAGAAUCUAUGUUCGUAGUACAUACCAUUAUAUAAAGGAAUUCAAGUGUCCAAACUCUUUACCUUCUUAAAUUUACUACUAAACAUUCAUUCCUCAUAAUCCAAAAAAUUGCAUACUUCGAUUGUGGCUCUCAAGGUAUCAUAAGUACAUCAAUGACUAGAAAUAACAUUGGACGGCUAUUUUAUGUUUGUCCUAAAGAGGUAUGUUGGUUAUCCUUUUAUUAUUUUUUUGAAUUAAUAUUAAUUUAUACAAUAUAUUGUUGGAUUCGGUGUUUAAUUUCAUAACUAUUCUAGAAUGUACUUGACCCGAUUUGCAUGGUCCAUUUAGGUUGCUUGGCAUCAUGCAUUUGGAUAGACCAAAAUGAGAGAACUAACACUUAAGGUUUAUUAAUAUAUUAUAAGUUCUAAUAUAUUAAUAUUAUUAUUUAAUUAGUGCUGAUCAAGAAUUAAUUAAGUGAUCAAAAAAGACUAAUUAAACAUAUGGGUUGAUUGUGUAAAUCACCCAUACUUGUAUAGUGGGCUAAUGCUCCAUGGAUUAUCAAGUUGGGCUAAAACCCAUAGGAUGCUCCAUGGGUGCUCCAUGGUGUAUUUGAACCCAUGGAUUGUGGAAAUUAAGAGCCAUGUCAAGUUAGGGUUUCCAUGGUGUAACCCUACUUAUGACACACUAUAAAAGGAAUAUGUGAGCAACCAAAAUCGGCACUAGUGUGAGAACAAGAGGGCAUAGCCAAUUUUAGAAGUGUUCUAUUUCUCUCAAGGUUAUUAAAAAUGUAUUUGGUCUUGUGUGAGACAUUUGAGGCAUCACACUUGAGGUUCUAGGCUCACAAGGUUCUCAAGGAAUCGAAACUACAAAAUGUAUGUUUUUCUUGUAGCAUUUAUGUUUAAAAGUUCCCCAUGGUAUGCUAGAUAGUUUAAGAACCUUGGAAAAUCAAUUGUUCUUGUAUCAUAGUAAAACAUAGAUCCAAGGUUUCUAGGGUUGCAUGUACACCUUAGGAGUGUUAGAAUGCUCAAAACCGUUCAGUGGUAUCAGAGCCAAGCACAAACUCAUCAUACUCAUCGAGUAAGUUCAUGCACUCAGCGAGUAAGAGCCCCAUAAUGCAAAUUUUCUAGUUUUGCUGUUGGAAAUGGACUAGGAACAUUACCCUAAACUAUUUUGGCCUUAUAAAACUUGUUUUAGAUGGUGUAAUGGUUAUGCUAAUCCAUUUUCAAUAGCUAUUAUCAAAAUUUCAAGUUUUAUAUGGUUAAUUUUAUGAUUCUUUAAAUUGUUGAUAUACAUGUUCAUGAACUUAUGAAUUUAAAAGAUCAUAUGAAUUAUUUGUAACUUCUUGUUAGUUUAAUUCUAGAUCAUUUUAUAUUUUAAUGGAAUCCAUAAUUUGUCCUCAAGUUAUGGAUUACCAAAUGUCAUUCUUUUAAGGUCCAUUAAAGAAACACAUAGAUUACAUAAAGAGAAAAUUCUCUCAUUUUAAUAAACCAUUUAAUUCAUAAGUUAUGAAAGAUGAAAAGUUUUGAAAUUACAAAACUUGCCCUCAAGUUUUGGAACAUUUAAAGUCUCUUUAAUAACUUUAGUUCCAAGCCCUAGAAUUUUAAAAGUUAAAAUUCAACCCUUAUACUUUAUAAUAUUAUAAGUUAAUAAUAAUUAUAUAUGUAUAAGAACAACUCGUUUUACCGUUAGUAGGCCUCAUUCACGAAUCUGUUCUAUAAGGGGGGUAUAAGUUUCCUGCCUAUAAAAUGACAGCUUAAUGGGUGUCCACUCACACGAACCGCUUCCUUGAUCGGUGGAGGGUUGUUAGCCAAACGGGUAUGACAAGGACUUUAAAUAUUCAUUAAAAUAAUUAAUGCUUAAUAUAAAGUAACUAAACCUUUUAUAAAUUCCCAAUAUUAGUUACUUUAGGAAAAUGUGAAUAAGGUGCUAACCCAUGAAAUUACACUUUCCAGUUUGCUAAAGUCGGUUAGUGGAGCGCGUGUGGUUAACCGACACACUAGCUGGACUUAACAAGGUAGGCAAAGGAUAACUUAAUGUUUAUCAUAAUAUAAAUGAAGCACAUGUGGUUAACCGGCACAACGAUUAAGGGGUAAACAUUAAGGGUACCAAGUAAUUUGCAUGGUUACUUCACACCUUGUUUUCUGAUCCUCGGCAUCCAAGUCACAAAACCUAAAGGGUACACUCGGCAUCCUAUUCACAUAAAGUAAAUACUCUUAUAAAUAUAACUCUUGAGACUAGACUUAACUUGCCAUUGGCACCCUCAGAAGGGUAAAAGACUAUUUUACCCCCCUCUUGACACAAGUACUCCAUUGUUGACCAAACCCUAAAUGUCAACAAAAGUUAACGGUCACACUUUGACCCUACUCGCCGAGUACACUCUGGUGACUCGGCGAGUUCACUCAUGUCCUCUAAAUCUUUGUUCCGCUUGGCACACCGAGUCCCUCCCUAUGCUCGACGAGUCAUACCAGGCACAAAUCGCGGGGCCACCCCGACUCAACUCGCCGAGUCUCAAGAACAACUCGGCGAGUACUGACUUGAACUCCAGUCCUCUAACCCCUCCCGACUCACUUAGUCACCCCCAACUCGGCAAGUCUACUCAUUGAGCAAUUUACGUGAAACUAUAACCCUAAUCGCCGAGUCUCAAGAACAACUCGGUGAGUUCAUGCCAUGCACAAUCUACUGACCUCCUGAGGUCAGAUCUGUUUCCCUAAACCAUAGAUCUGGCCUCCCCAAGCAUGAAUGUCACAUAAAGUCUGAAACUUGAUGCUUGUAUAACAACAAGAAGGCAUCAAAAGGGGAUUUAGUCCCAAAAAUGGCAACCUAAGUCUAAUAACCCCAAACUGAUCCAUAAAGCUCCAAGGGUUAAGGUCUUUGGACCUCUUUGAGUCCAGAUCCAAGGCACAAACUUGAAGAAGGACCAUUUGCUCCACAUAAUCACUCUCCAAAGGGGGUUAGAAAAUCCUAACUCUAAUGAUCAACACCAAAACAGAAGGAGGUUCGAACUAUUAUCUCAAAAUGAAGUCUCUGAACUCUAGAACUGCUAGAAUCGCACCUCCUCUUUGCUCUUGGUCAUCUCCUUCUUGAUAAACCAAAGGUUCAAGGAUCAAAAGUGACUUCUUCUCCCUCACAACGAUUUGGAUCACUUAGGGUUCUCUCAAUGGACUGGUAGCCGCAAUGGGUGGCUAUAAGUGCCCUUAAAUAGGCUCCAAACCCGGUGGAUUAGGGUUUCAUUAAACAACGUGGACUCGUCGAGUCCAUGAAUGGAGUCGCCGAGUCCGGACGUGAACCCGGAUGAACAUUCGCGACCCUACUCGGCGAGUCUUGGCUCUAACUCGCCAAGUUCCUCCACAAACUCCAAAAUAAUAAAAUAAAAUAAUAUACCUGGAUCAGGAUGUUAUAAUUCUCCCCUACUAGAAUCAGACUUCGCCCUCAAAGUCUCACUCUGGAAACAACUCCGGCUCCCAAGUAAGCUCUGACCCAUUCCGGUGUUGCCACUGGACCUGCACCAGAGGCACUUCUUUGUUCCUCAGAACCAUGAUCUUUCGAUCCCGAAUAGCCACCGGUCUCUUAACGUAGUUCAGGCCCAUAUCCACCUGAAUAUCCUCUAAUGGCACUACUGCCGACUCAUCGGCUAUACACUUUCGCAACUGCCACACAUGGAAAGUGUCGUGAAUUUGACCUAGCUCUGCAGGUAGCUGCAACCGGUAGGCUACCCUGCCUACCCUCACGAUCACCCGAAAAGGACCGAUAUAUUGGGACCCCAACUUGCCCCUCUUCCUGAAUCGGAUCACUCCUUUCCUAGGAGAGACCUUCAGGAGUACAAAGUCGCCAACCUGGAACUCGAGCUCGGACCGGCGCCUAUCUGCAUAACUCUUCUGAUGACUCUGAGCGGUCAAUAACCUCUGCCUGACCUGCUGUAUCUGCUCAGUCGUCUAAAGCACGAUCUCGGUACUACCCAUCACACGCUGCCCGACCUCUCCCCAGCAAAUGGGGGUCCGACGCCUUCUCCCAUACAACAGCUCAAAGGGUGGCAUACCAAUGCUCGAAUGAUGGCUGUUGUUGUAGGAAAACUCUGCCAAGGGCAAAUAUGUGUCCCAACUCCCGCCGAAAUCCAACACACAUGCUCGGAGCAUAUCCUCGAGCGUCUGAAUCGUCUGCUCGCUCUGUCCGUCAGUCUGGGGGUGGUAUGCGGUACUAAAAUGCAGCUUAGUACCCAAUUCCUCAUUAAAUUUCUUCCAAAAUCUGGAAGUGAAACGCACAUCUCGGUCCGAGACAAUCAAGAUCGGCACUCCAUAUCGCGAUACCACCUCCCGCUCGUACAUCUCUGCCAACUUCUCCACUGAGUAGCCCUCACUGAUAGCAAGGAAGUGGGUGCUCUUUGUCAACCUGUCUACAAUCACCCAAAUUGCAUCGUCUCCCCUAGCAGUCCUUGGCAAUUUGGUUAUAAAGUACAUGGUAAUCUGUUCCCACUUCCACUUGGGAACCUCCAACGGCUGCAACUUACCAUGCGGUCUCUGGUGCUCGGCCUUAACCCUACGACAGGUUAAGCACCUCUCAAAAAACCACGCGACAUCCCGCUUCAUACAAGGCUACCAAUACUCCCUCUUCAGGUCUAAAUACAUCUUAGUGGCCCCAGGAUUGAUCGAGAACUUCGACCGAUGAGCCUCUUUCAUUAAAAUGGUACUCGUCCCGCCCACAAACGGUACCCAGAUUCGACCCUGGAAUGUCAUAAGCCCCCGACUAUCAGUAAUGAACUCCGAUACCAUCCUGACAACUCGCUCUCUCUUCUGGUUUUCCGAUCUCACGGCCUCAGCCUGGGCCCCACAAUGGUAUCCAACACCGGAGCUGUCACGGUCAAUCUCAAACAAACAUCUUGCAUAGGGGCGCUCUCCGCCCUUCGGCUCAGUGCAUCGGCUACAACAUUAGCCUUACCCGGGUAGUAUAGGAUCUCGCAGUCGUAAUCUUUUACCACAUCCAACCAUCUCCUCUGGCGCAUAUUCAGGUUGGGCUGAUCCAUCAAGUACUUCAAACUCUUGUGGUCUGUGUAUAUGGUACACCGAACCCCAUACAGAUAGUGACACCAGAUCUUGAGGGCGAACACUACUGCCCCCAACUCUAGAUCGUAGGUGGGAUACCUCGUCUCAUGAGGCUUCAGCUGCCUCAAUGCAUAUGCUAUCACAUGCCCUCUCUGCAUCAGGACUUCCCCCAACCCCAAGAUUGACGCAUCAUAAUACUCCACAAAGUCCUCCAUUCCCUCCAUAAGGGCUAACAUCGGGGCUUCGCAUAGUCUCUGGCGAAGUGUCUCGAAGGAGCUCUGCUGCUCUGGGCCCCAUGAAAAAGCGACACCCUUUCGGGUCAACCUAGAGAGUGGCACGGAAAUCUUGGAGAAAUCCCUGAUAAAUCUACGAUAAUAGCCUGCCAGCCCUAAGAAACUACUGAUCUCGGUGGGUGACCUCGGCAACUCCCAACUCAUCACUGCCUCAACCUUGGCUGGGUCGACCAACACCCCUCUCUGGUUAACGAGGUGUCCUAGGAACUAGACCUCUCGCAACCAGAAAUCGCAAUUGGAGAAUUUGGCAUAUAGCCUCUCCGAUCUCAGAACCCCGAGGAUCUCCCUCAAAUGCUUCUCAUGCUGCUCUCUGGAUCUCGAAUACACCAAAAUGUCAUCGAUGAAUACGAUCAUCGAGCGAUCCAACAUCGACCUGCACACUCUGUUCAUGAUAUCCAUGAACUCCGCCGGUGCAUUGGUGAGUCCGAAAGGCAUCACCACAAACUCGUAAUGUCCAUAACGAGUCCUGAACGCUGUCUUCUGGAUGUCCUCAUCUCGCACCCUUACCUGAUGAUACCCAGACCUCAAAUCGAUCUUGGAGAACCAAGAUGCUCCCUUGAACUGAUCAAACAAAUCGUCGAUCCUCGACAACGGGUACCGGUUCUUGACCGUCAACUUGUUCAAGUCUCAGUAAUCAAUGCACAUCCAAUGUGAGCCAUCCUUUUUCUUGACAAAAAGGAUAGGCGCUCCCCACGGCGAGCUGCUCGGCCGAAUAAACCCCUUCCCCAGCAACUCCUGAAGUUGUAAGGAUAACUCCUGCAUUUCUGGAGGUGCAAGGCGAUAGGGCACCAUGGCGAUAGGCGCGGCCCCCAGAACAUAAUCGAUACUGAACUCCACCUGCUUCACGGGAGGCACGCCCGACAACUCCUCCGCAAAUACGUCCGGGAACUCACGCACUAUCAGAAUCUCAUCAACUGACCUCGGUCUCUCUGAUUCAACCCUCGUAUCCAUCACAUACGCUACAAAGCCCUUACAGCCCUGCUGUAGACACUGUCUCUCCCUAGCGGCCGAACAAAAUGCUGACCCAGAACGUGUACCCUCUCCGUACAUCGUAAGAACUCCCCCACUAGGGUCUCGUAUGGUCACCAGCUAUCGCUCGCAGUCGAUAACCGCUCCAAAUCUGCUCAACCAGUCCAUGCCCACGAUGACACAUACAUCUCCUAUCGCAAUAAGAACUAAAUCAAUCGGGAACUCAACACCGAAAAUCUCGAGUAUACACCCUCGGAUCACCUCUGUGGCAUAUACCGCCCUCUCUUCAGCUAUGGAAACUCUCAGAGGUCAACUCAACGCCUCACGACUAACACUGAUGUGCUGACUAAAAGCCAAAGAUACAAAGGAACGAUUCGCACCCGAGUCAAAUAACACCAAGGCAUGUACAGAACUCACAUGAAAAGUACCUACACAUAACAUAAUAUAAACACAAUUUCUCAACAUCAAAAUCAAUAUACGAAAGAAUACAUACCAGCCACGACAUCGGGCGCUGUGUGGACUUCCUCCGUGUUCAACUGAAAGGCUCUCCCUCGUGCCUUCGAUGCCUCGGGCUUCACUGGCCGGCUCUCAGUAGCUCUGACAGCAGCAGGGGCAGAUCCCUAAGAUGCUCCCUGUGCUGAUCCUCGCAGCUACGGACACUCUGCCUUCCGGUGUCCGUUCUGGUUGCAAUGAAAACAUACUGCAAACCCCUUGGGGCAAUCCUUGGCAAUAUUUCCCUCCUUGCCACAUUUGUAGCAAGACCCUGCUCUGCACACCCCAUCGUGGCUCUUGCUGCACUUGCCAUAAGUGCGGCCCCUCUGGUUCCCUGAUCUCAAAUCAGCGGGCUUGGCCUGCUUGGCUACCGGCUGAGACUGUACCGGUCGCCGAUCCCUCCCCUAAGACUCAGCCUCCUCCCAAGCCUGGGUCUCCAGCUCUAUCUCCCUCUUCUGGGUAUUUGCCUGAACCUCGGCAACUAUCCGGUACGUUGAGUUUGCCACGAACUCUCAUAUAUCCCUCCUCAAAUUGCUCAGAUAUCGGCUCAUACGUGCCUGCUCGGAGGACACGUGCUCUGGGCAGAACAUCGCCCGGUCAUGAAACAUCCUCUUAAUCACUGUAACCGACUGAGUGCCCUACUUGAGGUUCAGAAACUCCUGGGCGAAACGCUCCCUCUCCACCUGGGGAACGUACUCAUCUCGAAACGUAGCAGUGAACCUCUCCCAGGUCACUGCAGCAAGCUCAGCAGGCGUAUAGUGUGUCGUCACAAACUUCCACCAAUCCUGCGCUCCCAAGCGAAGCUGGUUCAGUGCGAACCGAACUCUCAAAUACUCUGGAGAUGAGCAAGUAAAGAAACACCCCUCUAUGUCUGAAAUCCACCUCAUCGCCGCAAUCGGAUCCUGGGUCCCGUCAAACUCCGGUGGUCUUGUAUUGCUGAACUCUCGGAACAGCAACGCAUCACCACCCUGUGGCCUAGUCACAGCUAUAGCUACAGUGGCCGCAACAACAGCAGCCUCAGAAAGAGCAGCGUACUGCUCAUCAAAUGUCUCUAUCAGCGUGGUCUUGAUAUACCUGAACAUCUCUGGUAUCUCUGCUCUGAUGGCCGCAGCCACCUCUUCCUGGAUGAUCCUACGGAUCUCCUCAUCACUUGUACCGCUACACCCUGGUGUAUGGCGCGUCCCAACCAUGAUCUCCCUCUCUCUGAAAUACAACACAAGAAUAAAUAUCAGGGACUUUCUCGAGUAUGCUCACACUCGAAUACUCCACCCUACUUGUCCCUUGGUACUCCAAGGAUUCUUACUUGGACUGUGCACUGACCCGGUGUCUUCAGUAGUACGGGCCCAAUACUACCGUCCACACCGCAUCGGCAUUCACCCGAAGUCUUCCUCCCAGAGUCCCAAAUCCCAAGUACUCUACUCUCUCUAAUCAUGUGAUACUCGCUAGCAGAUCUCUCAUAACCUCCUCGCUGCUACCUAAGCACUCUGAAGUAUCCCUAGCAGCAAGACUCCUAGAUUCAGGCAUCACAUAUCAGGCCACUCUAGUCCUAAUAAGAAUACCUAGUCUACUCUAGCAUGCAUAGCAUAGCUCAUCAUAUAACAUAUCAUAUCAUAUCUCAUAACACUUAUUGUAAUGGUAUUUUGGGAAAUCACCGUUCGGGCGCUGGCUGUUCGUACACACGACUCUGCUCUGUUUGUCUCGAAAGUUCUUCUUUUGAAAACUUAUUUAAUUAUCGAAAUUUCCUCANNNNNNNNNNNNNNNNNNNNNNNNNNNNNNNNNNNNNNNNNNNNNNNNNNNNNNNNNNNNNNNNNNNNNNNNNNNNNNNNNNNNNNNNNNNNNNNNNNNNNNNNNNNNNNNNNNNNNNNNNNNNNNNNNNNNNNNNNNNNNNNNNNNNNNNNNNNNNNNNNNNNNNNNNNNNNNNNNNNNNNNNNNNNNNNNNNNNNNNNNNNNNNNNNNNNNNNNNNNNNNNNNNNNNNNNNNNNNNNNNNNNNNNNNNNNNNNNNNNNNNNNNNNNNNNNNNNNNNNNNNNNNNNNNNNNNNNNNNNNNNNNNNNNNNNNNUCCAUCCAUGAAAAUGUUCCAAAAGGUUGUUCUUCAAGUUUCACCAAGAACACACACUAGUGUUCUUGGACUUUUGGCUCAUUUCAAGCUUCUAUAUUGUAAGUACUUCUGUCCUAGAGUAUCAUAGAGCUUAUUAUACUUCCAUAUAUCAAGAAAACACAAAGAAACACUAAGAUCAAAGUUGUUUAUGGUCCAUCAACUCUGUGAACCGUAAACCCUUCUUAAGGGGCAAAAGUGACCCUAGUCCUUUCCUUCCCUUGGGAAACUAGUCUAGACACAUUCCUUAAUGCGUAUAGGACUUGAAAACAUCAAAAUACCCGAGUGCACUAUGGUGACUCGGCGAGUUCACUCAUGUCCUCUAACUCUUUGUCCCGCUUGGCAUGCUGAGUCCCUCCCUAUCCUCGACAAGUCAUACUAGGCACGAAUCGCGGGGCCACCCCGACUCAACUCGCCGAGUCUCAAGAACAACUCGGUGAGUACCGCCUUGAACUCCAGUCCUCUAACCCCCUCCCGACUCACUGAGUCAUCCCCCAACUCGGCAAGUCUACUCACUGAGCAAUUUACAAGAAACCCUAACCCUACUCGCCGAGUCUCAAGAACAACUCGACAAGUUCAUGCGAUGCACAAUCUCUACUGACCUCCUGAGGUCAGAUCUGUUUCCCCGAACCAUAGAUAUGGCCUCCCCAAGCAUGAAUGUCACGUAAAGUCUGAAACUUGAUGCUUGUAUAACAACAACAAGGCAUCAAAAAGGGAUUUAGUCCUAAAAAUGGCAACCUAAGUCCAAUAACCCCAAACUGAUCCAUAAAGCUCCAAGGGUUAAGGUCUCUGGACCUCUUUGAGUCCAGAUCCAAGGCACAAACUCGAAGAGGGACCAUUUGCUCCACAUAAUCACUCUCCAAAGGGGUUAGAAAACCCUAACUCUAAUGAUCAACACCAAAACUGAAGGAGGUUCGAACUAAUACCUCAAAAUGAAGUCUCUGAACUCUGGAACUGCUAGAAUCGCAUCUCCUCUUUGCUCUUGGUCACCUCCUUCUUGCUAAACCAAAGGUACAUGGAUCAAAAGUUACUUCUUCUCCCUCACAACGAUUUGGCUCACUUAGGGUUCUCUCAAGGGACUGGUAGCCGCAAUGGGAGGCUAUAAGUGCCCUUAAAUAGGCUCCAAACCCGGGGGAUUAGGGUUUCAUUAAACAGCGUGGACUCAUCGAGUCCAUGAAUGGACUCACCGAGUCCUGACGUGAACCCGGAUGAACAUCCGCGACCCUACUCGGUGAGUCUUGGCUCCAACUCGCUGAGUUCCUCCACAAACUCCAAAAUAAUUAAAUAAAAUAAUAUACCUGGGAAUCAGGAUGUUACAUUACGGCAUCCCUUUUCCAAGUUUAAAAUAUUGUGUUUGGUCCUAGCCUUAAUAUUUCAUAUUGGGUGUUAUAUUAAGCACUCUAUAUCAACUAUCUUGAAUAUCUCCCAAAAGAUGUAUGGUACAGACAAUUAUGAUCUUCCCAAAACUCAUGGAAUAAGCUUUCCAAAUGAAGAUGAUGUCUCGUGACUGGAUCAUGGAAAUCAUACUUCAAUAAGCUUUCCUAAUGAAGAUGAUGUCCCGUGACUGGAUCAUGAAAAUCAUACAUCAAUUCCUCCACCUCCUCAAAUUAUUGUCCCUAUCCCACAAGUUCAAGGUCACUCAAGCCCUAUUGGUAAGCAAUGUCUAUGUAUGAUCACAUCUUGGAGAUGAAGUCACAUAUUGAAAAGUCGGGAGAGUUGGGUGUCAAAGUCUUGAGGAAGUUGGAUUUUGACUAAUCACUUCCUAAGUCACAUAGUGAGUUCUGUAUGGAAUACUACGUAAAAGACUAUGACAUGACCCUUAAUGAUCUUAUCUAUUUUCUUGGUGCUGCUGAAUCAGCGAUGAUUUGGAGAUCUGGUAAAGCAAAUUUGAUUAGUAGAUCAACUUCCCAAACUACCAUGUACAUUGAAAAAUUGGUGACAUUGGAAAUCCAGAAAGGUUUCCCUUCCCAAUGGAAAGGGAUCGGCCAUUGUCAACUCGGUUGACCAGAUGCUAAAGAGAAAGGCUAUGUCUGAGAUAGUCCUGUGUACCAUUCCCAAAGGGUCCAUAUGGUUCUAUUGCCAAAAAGGAAGGGGCAUUGAUUGCAAAUCUGCCCUAACUACCUAAAAGAUCUGAGAGAAGGUCUAGUCAAAAAGUUUGAUUCUGCUUUAGGUAAGUCCACUAUCUAUCUUUGUUAAGUUCCUUAUUGAUGAUUCUUCAUACAAAAUGCGACUCGGUUACAUUUUGGUGUUAGGCAGAAUCAAGAAAAGGGAAGGACACUUAAAGAAAGAGUAUGCUGAAUCUGAUCGCGAAGAUGGAUUUCAAUUGCAUGGUUCGAAGAUCGGAUUCAUGAGCUGCUAUUUAGGAGUUAUGAUAGAAUAAUAGGAAAUAUGUAAUAGCAUAGUUUUCAUUUAAAGCUGCAAUGUAAGGAAAAAGUUUUUCCGUAUUUUAUAAAUAAAUUAAAAUUUGAUUUUAUUUUAGUUUAUAUAUCCUUACAAUGGCUUUUAUGGAAAAUUGAUGUUUAAAUAUUUCUAGCAAUAUUGUAAAUAUGAAUUUGAUUCUUCCUUUUGGUGAUAGUGUCUAAAUUUAACAAAUAAGGAAAGAUUCUCAUCACCCAAGUUUUCAGUUGGAUAGAAACUUGGAAUCAUACAAGUUGUAUAGUAUGAUGAAUGAGAAUUCUUAGCUUUGGAGAAUGAAGACUAAUUCCAUGUUCACAUUUAUAUGUGAGUCAAGUGAAGGAUUAAGGGAUCGAGUACACAUUCUUGUGUACUAGUCAAGUCCACCACAAAAGAUCGAUAAGAUUAUUCGUCAUGAUUUACUAAAGUUUAGUAAAUAUGGUUAUACUUACCAGUUUAAGUAUAAUUCUGGAACAUUGGAAAAUUUUCAAUGUUUUGCAGGACGAAUGAGAAGAAUCAAAUUAGGCAGAAGGAUAAAAGUUUCUCAAAUAUGGAAAGAUGGGAGAGUAGUUUAGUAUCAUGUUUAGGGAUCAUCUUAAUGAUUAAGAAACAAUAUCACAAUUGGUUCUCUAAGGACGUCUUAGUGCAUUCUUAUGGCUAACAAGAGGAAUCAUGAAUUGUUGAAAUAGUUAAAUCAAGAAGGUGAGUCAUAUUUCGUUCCAAAACAAAUCGUAGAGUCAUACUCCAAGAUUGUAACUUGAGUGACAUAUCUUUAAGAAAGGUUUAUAAUACUAGUCAAAUGUAAGAAUAAAGAGUGUCCUACUCUUGUACAUUUGAAAUGGGUAAUUUGUGAUGUUUUUGAUAAAACAAAGACCAACUAAUGCCCAUUGUGUGAAGUGUUUGUCUUGAUAAAGAAUUUGCACUAUCACUUGAAUAUUUGGCAAGUGAAUUUUAUAUGUGAAGAGGACAGUGGGAGUCUCAAAGAUCUUGGAAAAUCUUCCAGAUCUAAUCAAGAAUAAAAACCUAUAGUUUAUCACUAGCACACGACUUGAGGUUUAUAACCUAUCAUGUUGACAUAUUCAUAUUUCUAUGCCUAUUCCAAUUUUGCAUAUGAGUUAUGAGAGUUCUGAAUUGGUUGCAUAACAACUUGGAAGAAAUGGCAGACCCUUGAGCUGCCAGGUGGCAUGAAGUUAAGACUGCACAAGUUCAAUCCAUAAGAGUUUGGAUUUAUCACUAACCUUGUCUUGUGAUUAUGGUUUUGACAAAUUCACAUGGAUAGGAACACAUACACUAUAAAAUCUAAGUUUCAUAAGGUUUCUCUCUGAUUCAUGAAAAUGAUGGUGAGGAAACGCUUUCACUAAGUAGAUUUUAACUAGAUAGCAUGUAACACCAACAAAAUCUAGGUCAAAAUUAAAAUUUUAUAAAACCAUAAUAGGGAAGUACCAAGUGGUAGAUAUCAUAAUCAGGUUUCUAAAAAUGUAAAGAACACUAAAAUCCGAGUUAUAACGAAGAAGUUAUGACCGAUCGAAGAUCCAUGGCAAUACCGGUACAACACUAUUAAGAGUAAAAUACGAAAUUCUGAUAAAAUACUUUCUAGCCCAAGGUAUCUAAAUGAAAGUCGUAGAUAUCAUUAAACCGUGAACAUACAUAAAAAGAACGCCCAAAUCUGACUUCAUAUGAGGAAGUUAUAAUUUUUUGAAGUUUCGGAUAUAGCGGUAGACAGCUAAAAACUCGAAAUAGAGAUCAAGCGAUUUUUAGCCAACACAACCUAACCGAGAAUCGAAGGUCUCGACAAUAGUGAUACAAAGGUAAAAAGACAGACAAAAACGGGCUUCAGGUGAAGAAGUUAUGAAUUUAUUACGGAGUUUUCCUAUCCCGACCUACUAAAAAUAAAUAAUAAAAAUAAAUUCAAAGAUAUCUGAUGGAGUCUACACGAAAGUUGUAGAGCAUAUUCUCACCUAUGUGUCGAUAUAAAGAACAUCGAAAAGAGAGUUCGUAUGAGGAAAAUAUGAAUUUUUGAAUUUUAUUAAAUAACUAAAAUAUUAAAUUUAAUUAUAAAUACCCAAUAUUAUCCGAAGGAGGAGGAGUCACCGGUCUGAUCCGGAUUAUGCCCAGCAUAAUACCUCGGUAUGCCCAGCGUAAUCCAAGGAUUCGGACCCUAUAAAAAGGGUGUGAGGGUUCCGGGGUUAUUUUCUCAUUUCUUCUCUUUCUCAUGCCGAAGCUCUGCGUUUAAACCCUCGGAGCCAUCCCGAAGUCCCAGUUUUCAUAUUCAAGUUUAGAAGGAAGCUGCAUGAUGGUACUACAAAAUAUGCAAUCAGCCAAGCUCAAGUAAGUACCCCAAAAUACUUAUACAAGUUUAUGUUAUUAUUAUCAGUUAGUAGAACAACAUGCUAGAUUAGGACUAAGGAUCUAGGGAGGAUGCCUUAUGUGCCUGUUAUAUGUGCUUUUGAGCUGCAUGAUGGUACUGGUUAGAAUGUUUAGGUUAUGCCUGAGUAUAUGAGAUUAUGUUGCAUGCUAGUACAAAUUCUUGAUAUGAGAUUAUGAUUGCUUGAGUAUGUUAUGGUUAGAUUUUCCCUUGUCUGAAUGUUGCUUGCUUUGUGCAUUGUGGGAUUCUGAGUGAUGGGAGUUAGCCAUUCGGUGAGUACGUCAUGUCACAUGUGAUCAGGGUUGAAUAAUCUCAGAGUGCUGGAUUUGGCCUUAUUGCGCAACUCUCAUUUGAGUCUAACCAUUGUAGGAACGAGUCUCUACUCGAAGGAUUAUUUGAGCCUCGUCACAUGUGAUGGUAUUUAGGUGAUGGCUAAUUGGCAUCGCAAAGGGGCCUUCAGCAGCUGAGGACUUGUUUAGGUGGAGCCAGAGGUUUCCUUAGGGUAAGCCUUGGAUGAGAUAGUGCUGGGAGCAGUAGUAGUAGAAAAAGGGACCUGGUGGAGGCGAAGCAGUUCUUGAGGAAAAUACGGAUAAAUGUGGAAGGCAGUAUGGGCCCGUACUACUGAAAGCAGAGGAUCCGUACUCGAUUCGAGUAAGACCGAGAUGAGACCGGGAAACUUGUAGUGUGUGUGUGUAUGAUCCCUUAGCAGUGAUGAGUAUUCUGAUAGUUAAUGUGAUAUGUUUCCAGCAUGGUGACAUUGCGUGAGAGACUAGUGGGCGGGUCAGGCGCCUGAGAGAAAUCAGGCUCAAGUUCAGGGACUGAGCAGCUCGACGAGCAUUUGAGAGAGUUUGUGUCUGCGGAGGUUACGCGCAGCAUACUAGAUCAAACUCCUGUGAUCUUUGGCACAGUCAAGGAGGGUAUACUGGAGAUCUUGAACAAGAGGUUGGGAGCCUUACCUACCGAGAUGAUGGCCAUGAUGGGAGCGCGUACCUUGACAUCUCGAGAGUUUAGAGCUUGCGGAGCACCAGAUUAUCAUGUGUCCAGGGACCCCAUAGCCAGCAGCAGGUGGUUGGCCAAUGUCAUCUAUGCAUUCCGUACGAGCCGGUGUCCCGAGGGGGGACAAGGUCAGACUCGCCUCCUGUCUUCUAUAGGAUAGAGCGUGGGAUUGGUGGGAGGAGGGUGGACAUGCCAUUGGUGAUGAUGUCGUGUUGGAUGCGAUCACAUGGAGCGAUUUCUCGGCGAGGUUCAGGGCUGAGUUUUCACCAAUUAUUGAGGUGCAGCAGUUGGCACGGGAGUUUCAAGAUUUGACACAGACUACUGAGACUGUGGCGGAGAUCACCGCCAAGUUCAGGGAGAUGGCCGUGCUUGUUCCGCAGUAUGUCGCGGAUGAGGAGAUGAAUAAGGCCCGAUACGACGAGAUGUUGAGGGAUGCCAUCAGGCAGUUUGUGAGCAGGUCCAGCUACAAAACGUUGGAGGAUAUGAUCGAUCGGGCUAGAGAGAGGGAGAUUUAUUUGUAACAGAUCCGGAAGAGGAAGCCGUAUGAGGUUCAGAUAGCCACAGGUUCGGGCAAAAGGCCCAGGGGGUCAGAUUCGAGAUCGAGGGAUUACCAGAGCUGCAGCCGAUGCGAAAGGUGCGGCAGGACGCACGAGGGUGCGUGUAAGAGUGGUAGUGGUACAGAUUCGGGCUGCUUCAAGUGCAGCCGGACUGGUCAGUUUAGCAUAGAUUCUACUGCUACCACCACGCGAGGAUCAGACCUGAUAUGUUUUCAUUGCAGUCAACGAGGCCACAAGAAGUGUCACACCCGAAAACCAAGAACGGAGGAAAUGUUCUUGGGCGGAGGACGUCAUGUAAAGUAUCACAACACAGUAAAUGUAAAUAAGCAAACAACAUCGUCCAUUGCAUUAAAUAUAUAAUUUUAAUACAAGUGUGUUCUGUACAGUUAUAGACACCAAAAAUAAUGUAAAUCAAAAUAAUAAGAUGAGUCUUGGAUGCGCUCCAUCUUCUCAAAAGCUGGCCUCGGUACCUGUCUACUGAUGACCUAAGAAUACAAGUUAUUUUGAAAGAGUUUAUCAGCAUUAAGCUGGUGAGUUCAUAAGUAUUUUAGUGUCGGUGUUUGUUAUCAAAAAUGUUUGAAGCUUUCUCAAGUGUAAGUUUGUAAAAUGUAAGCAAAUGUUUGUAAAUGUUUGUAAAAGUUUGAAUCUCUCAGAAAAACCUAUAUUUUCUAUUAAAGUAGCCUUCUACCAAGGCUUAACUAUUUUGUAUGCUCUUGUAAAAGUGUGUAAUUUCCCAAGUGUAACUAUCGUUUAACAAUAUAUAGUUUAUACAUUAAUGUUUAAGUGAAAUAAUCACUAAAUGUAUGUAAUGGGUAAAACAUUGUAGUACUGUAGUGUUGUAUUAUAGGAACUACUGUUGUACUAACUACCUUAAACCAGAUUUAUAUUAAGGUAUAAUGUGAUAAAUUGCACCAUACUAUCGACUGGUAACAACGACAUACGAAUGGUCGUAAUAAUGAAAUGACGUUUGGCACCCGCAGACCUGCAGGUCCGGCUGUAGCUAGCAGCAAGGUGUAGGAUAGUCAAUCCAGUAUAGAUCUAUACGCAAACUCACGCUCUCCCUCCAAGAGAAUUCUGGCUACAACUCGGGCCAUGACAUUUAAGGCAUGCUCCGACACAGUGGAUCACAAUUGUUAACGUAUUCAUGUAUAUGUAAUGUAAUGUUACUUGUUCUAGUAUUGUUGUAUAUGUUCUCUUCCUAGUAUAGUUGUAAAUGUUCUCUUUCUAGUAUAGUUGUAUAUGUUCUCUUUCUAGUAUGGUUGUAUAUGUUCUCAUAGUAAUGUAAUGUAUAUACUCAUGAAUGAACUGACUCAUUGAUCGAGAAAUUGUAGUGGUAUGAUCAUGUGUUACCCGGAUGGUAACUUACUAAUGAUGUGUCUAAUACGCAUGAAUAUGGAAGUACUUUUAUGUCUAUAUAUGUAUAGUUGAUAUAUAAUUAAUAUUGAAACGAUCCUCGGAUGGUUACCCGAAAUCCCACCAGACCACAUCCAAAUCGAGAAAAAGGAAAUAGGGCGGAUGGCCUUCCUAAGCCCUUUAAACAUUAUUUAUAUAUCUAUACAUAUAUGGGCAUGCAAUUUAUAAGAAGUAAAACAUAUUUUAAUAAAAGCAUUUGAUAAGUAAAAGAGUUUGUAAAACAUUUUGAAGUAAAAUAGCUUGAUAAACAGUUUGAACAGUGAUAAAAUCAUUAGUUUUCUAGUUAUUAAUCACAUGUGAUUGAUGUAAUCACAUGUGAUUGAAGAAAUAACUAUAAGUAUUUAACUUGUAUUCCCCCCCAUAAAGUAUUUAAAACAUUUAAAAGUAUUUCAAAGGUUAAUUAAAGGGGUAUGACCUCACUUGCGGUGGUUUUUGGUGUUUUGAAGUGCUAAAAGAUUUCUAGAAUAAGCCUAGCUUGGUGGUUUAAUCCUUUGGGUAGUUUAGGGCAUAGAUAAUACUCCUUUGAGGAGUUUACGGCCAAAAGGCAUUAUCCCUUAGAGUUUACAGCCGUAAACUCUCAUGGGAUGGUUGUUUUAAUUCUUUCAAGUCUCUUGCACAAGUAGGAUAAUUUCUAAGCUUUUGUUUAAGGCUAAGGGGGACCCUAGGCACACUUUGGUGCCCUUAUUUGGUGUUUACGGCCCAAGAGUAAUUCCUUGGCCGUAAACUCCCUUUAACGGGUGUUCUUGAUGUUUAAAAGUCUCCAAAUUAGCUAGAAGUAAUUGAGGGUUAAAGUCUAAAUCCUUUGGGAGUGAUUAGGGAACAUUUAAGCCCUUGAAUUUGGUGUUUACGGUCCAAGAAACUCUUGGGCCGUAAACACCUAAAGCUAUCUGUUCUUGAUUGUUUUCUAGCCUCAAAUGAUCAUACAUAUUAUCCUAAACUAGUUACCUAUCAAGGAAAUGGGACUAGAUGGCCUUUAAGCUUCAUUUUGGAGUUUACUCCCCAAGAACGUUCUUGGGCGGUAAACUCCCGAAUCUCAUAUUUUUUAUAUACAAUCCAUGUUAAUAAGCAUAAAACAAGUAUUAUAACACAACUAGGGAAGUGUACUCACGAUUUGGGGGGAAAACCCGAAGACCCGUGAGAGAGAAAAUGGCUUUUUUCUAGUUGGAAAUGUGAAUAAUGAAUGAAUUUAGUUCAGAAAUCUAUUUAUGGUCCUGAAAUAUUUUUGGCAGAAAAUAUUUUUAUUCCGGAAUUGGACUAUAACAUUAUGAAAUUUUGAAAUGCUCAAGUUUCACAAACCCAGGAGCAUCCACUCUCCUGAUAUCUCCUUAAACGUAAACCCUAAUGUACACAAACUUAUUCGGAAAAGUAUGAAAAUUAUUUAAACUGGACUAGCUUCUAUUGAAUAGAUAUUGUUCGUACAGAAUGGAAAUUUCGGGUUGUCACAAGAAGGCCCAAUGCCCCAGUUUUCUUUCGGCGGGACGGGUGAUAGCACAUAUCCCUACAACUCUGAGGAUCACAGACAACCGUCAGGGCCGAGCAGAGGGGCCUGUGGUAGGAGGCAGGGCGUUUUAGAAUUGGGCGGCUUGCUUGUGAUUUAGUUAUAUGCCAUCUUCAUACCUUGGAUAAUAAAAUGGUAGUUAGGGGGUUCUGUCCUAUGGAAGCAGCUUACUUAGGAUGCAGUAAGUAUAGCAUGCUUGUGUGAAACUCAGUAGUGACCUGCUGGAUUCAGAAAGGUGUUAGUGAGUAAUGGAUCGGUUAGAUCCCUAGCUAUGGCAAGCUCGGUUCUUUGGCAGAUUGAUUGCUCUAUAGCAGAGAAGAUUGGGAAUUCUUCUCGAGCAUUGAGCAGUGAGGUAGGCAGGAUCAAAGUGGGGGAGAACCCCCCGAGAGUACAGGGGUAAGAGUAUGCAGAUCCAGGAUGAGUACGUGACCUCUAAGAAGGAAAAGAAGUAGCUCAACGAUGGAUGGAUUGAUGAGUUGAGGGUUGGGAGUUUGAAAAACUUCCCUAAAUAGAGUUCAUGUAAUCGAGAUAAUGACUGGUUGUAAUUUCAGGAUGGAGGAUCGCCUGUAGGACUCGAGUGAGUCAGAAUGACGAUUUUGAGAACGUUUAGCAUGGGAUGCUUACGUGUUAAUAGUCAGAGGCAGAGACAACAUGUAGAGCAUGGUAGGGAAGCGGGAGAACCGCAACAUUUUUCUAGCAGCGAGCCAGUGGUGGAAGGUGUUGUAAGACUAUGAGGUAGCCAUAGCAUUCACCAGCGGGCCAGUUAGCAUGGAAGGUAUUGUAAGACUACAGGUAAGCCGUAGCAUUCCCUAACAGUGUAGUUAGUGGAGAGUGGGCGGGGGCCCAUAUCUCCUAGUUAGCGGAGUUUAGGUGAGGUCCUUACCUCCUAAUGAUCAAGGUAAGGAUCAGGAAUGGAUAGUUGAUGAGAAUAGCAUGGAACUAGCCAGCAUAGCCCUAGAAAGGUGAGGCCUUGGGAGAGGCCGCUCCAGGAUAUAGUUGGGUGAGACCCAUGGGCGAGUCCCAUGAGUUUUAGUAGCGCAGGUGGGACUUGGUAAGGACCUUAGGGUCAAGUUAGGGGAUUGAGGAUCCCAGGACUUGUAGCGCCAGAGUGGCAGGGUAAAUGGAGCAGUAUUAGGUGGCCGAAGUUUCUUCGGAAGUCGCUAGGAGCGACUGAGAGAUUACGAUGGGACUAGCAACUGGUAGGAGUCCGGUAAUUCAGAUAUUGAUAGAUUAGUAGGGACUAGGGUGGUCUCGGUUCAUCCGGAAGGCGGAUAAGGGGCAGCAAAAAUUUUCAGUCAGUGUCAGUGAUGGUAAGAAGGCCACGGUGCAAGACAGCUAAUUGAUCGAAGAGUCCAAUGCAUCCCACAGCAGGGUUGGAUAAUCUCAGAUGGAAGGGUUUGACCCUGUUACGCAGCUCUUGUUUGAGUCUAACCGUUGCAAGGAUGAGUCUUUUACUCGAAGGAUUAUCUGAACCAUUUGCUGUGGUGGGUGCUUAACACUAAGAUAUGGUAGUAGAAAGUAUCGAGUGGGUACUGGCAGUAAUGACCACUCUGGAAGUAUCAGGAGGAAUGGAUUCGGUGAAGGAUAAGUCCUUCACAGCGAUAAGGGAGGUAGUUGGUUAUGGAACGUUGCCUUGGGGAGGCCGAAAAACGCACAAGGAAAAGGCGUGAACCCCUAGGAUGUCAAGCAUAAGUACUCGAGGAGUAUCGACCAUGUUUUUAACCUUACUAUUAUUCUCUUGUAAGCUUGUAAGAUUAUUAAAUACUUUUGACUUUAUUUUUAUAUUUUGAUGGAAUUUGACAACAACUGAACUGAAUUAUUUCUUUUAGCCCACUCUGUGACUGCCGAUUGACUAAAUUUUAUACAUUGAAAAUGAUUUCUUGAUUCAAUCCUUGGAAGCGUGUUGCCGGCUAUUUCGAUCUCUCCCAAAAUAAAAUAGAAUGUAUGUAAUAUUUAUUUUAUUAUUAUUUUUUCUUUUUUGUUGAUCGGUAAGCAUAGGAGGGUAUUUUUUGUAGCCCACAACACCCACCAAGGAUCGCAACUUGCAUGAUUUGUACAAAACAAUUUUUCUCCGUACAAAACUUUACACAACUUUUAUGAAGUUGUACAAUAGAACACUUUAAUGCAUAAAUUGUUUUGUAUGAAAAAAAAUUUGUUUCGGUUACAAAGCUCAUACGCUACUUGGUUGUUCAUUAAACUGCAUAGAGACUAAUAUCAAACAGACUUUAUGAUACGGUUUAUAUACAACAUCAGUAGUGCGUUUUCGAAAAUGAUUUGAGUUAAAAGAGUGGAUAAACAUAGAACUGAGAGCAUCCACAAUGGAAAGUAUAAUGGAAGAGUUGAAUGAGGUGUCAAGUCUACUUGUCAUUUAAUGUUUACAAAAACCAUAAAAAUAGAUGAGCAAGCUAUAAAACAACAAACGAGCAUAUGACAUUUAUAGUUUACAAAAACCAUAAAAAUAGAAAUCUUUUAAACAUGUGUUUCAAAUCAUCAUCUCCACCCACUUACCUGGCAUCGAACACCAGGAUUCGGUUUAUUACAAACAUAUAGUACAAAAUGAUUAAAAAACAAUAAUUUAUGAGAAUGGGAUAGUUUUGCAUGAAUAGUAGUUUGAAUGACUCCUGUUUUCCCUCACUUGCAAAGGGAAACGAGAAUGCGGCGAGGUGGCUUUAUUAGUGGGCGUCGGCUAUGGAGAACCAUCAAAUUAUUAACAAGCAUGACAUCACCUUUCUUCCAAGGUAUUGCAACACACUCUUCUUCAAGGAUUCGCAAGCAAUCUUUCAUGGCAGAAUCCGACAAAGGUUCACCAUUCCCAAACUCAAUAGAUCUGCUGUCGUCAUAAAUUUCAGCAUUCGCGGGGCCACCAUAACUAUUUGCGAGACUAUUGAACCAAGUUUUCCGUUGACUUCCUUUAUCAAAUUUUAUGCCUGGCACCGGACCGGUUAUAGUUUUUACACUGUUCCCCAUCCAUUCCAGUUUUGUGCCCAACUUCGCUGCCCUGUGAUUAAAUUAAUGUUAUUCUUGUAUUACAACUUAGUGUAGCGAAAUGUAUACAAACCUUUCCUCUGCAACAUUCUUGUCAUCGGUCAUAUAUGCCGACUUCCAACCGCUGCCGGUGAAAGAUGAUGGAAGAUCCUCGUCACUCAUUAUUUUCGUAUACGUCAAUCCAUGCUCCUCAAGUUUCGCAACGAAAUCUGGGUGCUUCUCUUUCAUCUUGUCAUAUAUGAUAUGACUCAAAACAAUUGGAGUUUCUCCCCCGCUUCGUGGUGCUUCUUGGCAAAAGAAAAAUAGCUUUGAUGGGUAGUCUGGAACCUGUUUGCAUGCAUGACAUAUAUCAGUCGAUUUAAAAAAUGAUAAUAAUAAUCUGAGAAAUUAAGCAACAGAUCCAUAUGGAUAGAUUAAAGGUAUUUACAUAAGCCAUCUCGUGAUGGAAAGGAAUAGUCUUAUCCUGAGGAGCUUCAUUUGUGGUGUAAAUUCGGCCAAGGAUUUUCGUUCGAGAGGCUCUGCCACCGACAUAGAACGCUUCGGGGAAGCCAAAUGCUUCCACGACAUCAUUCAUGUCGGAAGUAGAGUUUACAGGGAAGCCUCUGAAGAGGAUAGCACCUCUUUUCUGGAGAAGAGACUCGAGCCAUGGCUUGUGAGCUUUAAUCGCCUCUUCAAAGCCAUUGAGUUUUGCUGUUGAAGUAAAAUCAGCGUUAGAGAUCGGGGAUAACACCGCUGGGAAAAGAGCGCCAUCGCUGUCAGGUUUUUGCUCAGGUAGUUCUACUUCUCGGAAGAUAUUGCCGGAGGCCAUUUUGAUUGUGUUGUUGUGUAGUGGGAUGCUUUUGCAUGCUUCCUAGAUUGGAUUAUAUAUAGUGAUGAUCACGAUGUGUUCUUGUAUUUAAAAAAUGGGAGUUGGGAUAAUCACAAGAAUCACAUGCUUUUAUCUAAUAAUUAAUACAUUGAUCUAAGAUGAUAAAAUGGUCUCAGUGGGCCGUGAAUUGUAAAUUGCUUCUUACCGUAAAAAAUCUUACAAAUAUAUAAAAGAAAUUUUCAGAAAAUAUCUUAUUUCAAAGUAUUAUUAGAAAAUUGUUUAUAUUUUAUAAAAUAAUGAUGUUAUUUUGCAAAAACAAUCAAACUGCAAACUGAUGACGUUAUUUUACAGAAGAAAAAAAUGAGUUUUUUUUACAUUAUAUAUCUGAAAUUAUAAUAAUUUUUGUUACACAACGUUUGUCGGUAUAGAGUAAUUUAUAGCAAAUUUUUUUUUUCUUUUUUUGAAUUUGGGCUGUAAAUUUUUUUUGUCUUUUUUUGAAUUUGAGCUGUAAAUUGACAAUACAGUCUUAAACUUUAUUUUUUUAACAGUAAAAUCCAAAUUACCGGUAGUUUUUGAAAUUUUUACUAUUUUUUAUUCCGAUUAGCUAGUAAUUAGGACUUUUUUUAUCAAAAAAAAAAAAUAAAGUUUAAAACUUUUUUGUCAAAUCGUCAAUUAGAACAUUACUGUCAAAAAAUAAAGUUUAGAAUAUUUUUGUCAAAUCAUUGAAAAUAUUGGGACUUUAGUGUAUUUUCGUAACCCAAAAAUUUUUAAUUGUGACUUUUGUUGCAGCACCACAGUUUUUCUUACCAUCAUCUUUACCUUGACACAAUCACGAUCAUGAGAUACAUAUACAAAAGAGAGAGCCAGAAAUGGUAAAAAGACUUGUAAAACUUUCUUCUUGCUUCGCUACCAAAUCUUGAACUAAAUAGUGGAGACAUAUGAUACAAAUACAAACAACACAUGCCUAGUCAAAAAAGUGUGAAUGUGGAGAAGGGAAAAAAGGGCAAUUUCGUUUUUUUUUUUUUUUUUUUUGGUUUCUUAUUUCUCCAUUUUUGGGACUGCAAAAAAGAACACAACCCUGGUUAUUAUCUCUAUUUUUUCAAUGUUGGUUUGUUGAGAUUAAAAAAACGAUGUAACAAGAAGCAAACGUUAAAGAUUUCAAUAGGAUCUAGCUGACUAGAGAAACUUUCAAUAACUCUUAUGUUUAAAGAGUAUCAUACCAUUAAAUUUCCAACCAAAAAAAGAAUAUAUAUAUAUAUAUAUAUAUAUAUAUAUAUAUAUAUAUAUACACAACACACANNNNNNNNNNNNNNNNNNNNNNNNNNNNNNNNNNNNNNNNNNNNNNNNNNNNNNNNNNNNNNNNNNNNNNNNNNNNNNNNNNNNNNNNNNNNNNNNNNNNNNNNNNNNNNNNNNNNNNNNNNNNNNNNNNNNNNNNNNNNNNNNNNNNNNNNNNNNNNNNNNNNNNNNNNNNNNNNNNNNNNNNNNNNNNNNNNNNNNNNNNNNNNNNNNNNNNNNNNNNNNNNNNNNNNNNNNNNNNNNNNNNNNNNNNNNNNNNNNNNNNNNNNNNNNNNNNNNNNNNNNNNNNNNNNNNNNNNNNNNNNNNNNNNNNNNNNNNNNNNNNNNNNNNNNNNNNNNNNNNNNNNNNNNNNNNNNNNNNNNNNNNNNNNNNNNNNNNNNNNNNNNNNNNNNNNNNNNNNNNNNNNNNNNNNNNNNNNNNNNNNNNNNNNNNNNNNNNNNNNNNNNNNNNNNNNNNNNNNNNNNNNNNNNNNNNNNNNNNNNNNNNNNNNNNNNNNNNNNNNNNNNNNNNNNNNNNNNNNNNNNNNNNNNNNNNNNNNNNNNNNNNNNNNNNNNNNNNNNNNNNNNNNNNNNNNNNNNNNNNNNNNNNNNNNNNNNNNNNNNNNNNNNNNNNNNNNNNNNNNNNNNNNNNNNNNNNNNNNNNNNNNNNNNNNNNNNUCAAAUGGAGAAAGGGAUAGAAAGGGAGAUUUCAUUGGUUAUCCAAUUUAUCAAAACAAAGAUUUGUUUGAUCGAUUGAUUACAACAUAUCAAGAAAGACGAAGAAAUAAGAGGAAUGGUGAAGUCAUAAAAGGAAUUCCUCUUGCUAAUUGUAAACCGGGAAGAAAUAGACUUGAAUAUUAUGCAAAUUGUCGUGAAGUGCAAGAACAUAUUCUUGAUGAUGUUCAUCGUGUUCAUGAUGUUCAAGGAAAAGAAUUUCAAAACAAUGGAGUUCAAUGUGAUGUUCUUGAUGUUCAAGAAAAAGGAGUUCAAGUUGAUUCUCAAGAUGAAAAAGUUUUUUGCUCAAUUGGAGUUCAAUCAUAUGAUAUGUGUGUUCUUGUGAUUCGUUUGAAGGAAUGAUUCCUUAUCGGAAGCCGGUGGUUCAAGAAAUUCACAAAUAUAAAACUCCAAAAGAUUUGAUUCGAACUCAAAAUGUUCAUGUUGUUGAAAGUGGGUUUGUUCAUGAAGUCAAGUCUUCAAGAUGCAAAAAUAUGAGAAAGAAAAAGAAGAAGAAGAUGAAUCAAAAGAACAAGCGGGUUUACUCACAAGAAUCGUCAUAUGUUGUGAAGCCAAAAUCCAUGAAGAAAAUUUGGGUUCCAAAGAAACAAUCUCCAAAGGUUGCAUUGAAGUUGAAGUCAAAACCCAAAUGUAUUAAUGAUUCUUUUGAAGAUGUUCUUGGCUUGAUGAAGAACAUGAAGAACACGAAGAACGAGUUGUACAUCUCGUAUGGUGGGUGGUACAAUGUUCGAUUUGGAGAUUUUCUCAUUCCGACAAAAGAACCAAGAUCUUCCAAAUUUGAUUCGUUUGUUGAAAACGGAACUCGAUUCGUCAAAAAGGUAUCUCAAAUUCUCAAAUGGAUUCCAAAACAUCCAUGAUUUCAAUUCGUACUUUGCAUUUUUCAUUUUUGAUCGAUUUGCCUCAUUGGAUCUAAUUCAUUUCAACGUCAUAGUUGAUCCAAUUAUUUUUCUUAGAUCAAAAAGUUCAAAAAUAAAAAUCAAAUUCAAUUUUUUUAGUACUAUUCAUCAAUUAAUUCUUAGCCCAUUAUUUCAAAAAUCUAAUGUUUGUUGAGUCCAACUUAUUCGAUCACUAUUCAUUUCGUGAGUCCAAUAACUGAUCAAUAUUGAGUCUAUAAACCUUUGGACUUACUUACAGUUGUUAGUUCAACAUCAUACGCAUAAAGGUGUUGUACAUUCAUGGAAUUCUUUGAAAUCGAAGUUCUUGUGUCUCGACUUUCAGUUCUCACUGUGAAUUGAACCUAUGAUCUUGUUCAAUAGGUCGAUUAUUGAUUAAUGUUUGAAGUCGAUUGAUGAUUUCACUUUUCAAUUUCACUCUUUGACAGAUUUUGAUUAGGUUACAAGUUCUUUCAUCGCUAGUUCUUCAAUUUUGUGUUCUUGAGUUUUGAUUUCCAUUCAUGAAACAAAUCGAUUCAAUUGCAAAGUCGAUUUCAAAAGUUAAAAUUUCAUGUUCUUGGAUAAUCGAUGUUUGGAUUGAUUUGGUUUCUAACUGUCGAUGAAAUUUUGAUAUCGAUUUGAUCAUAUCGCAAGUUUUUGCUAUAAAUGAUUGAUGAUGAUGAUGAACAGUGAAGAACGUCAGAUGAAUUUGAUUGAAAUUGGUAUUUGAUCUAAAAAGUCACUACAAGAAAAAGACCCUUUUACGACGUGGAAACCACGACACUCAUUGAUCUAUGUUACGCAAAAGAGAGUGACAUUAAAAAAGUGUCAUCUCUUCAAAAAAUUUAAGGAUUUAGGUCACGCAUUAUUGUGUGCCCUUAAUUUAGUGUUAUAAGAAAAAAAAUUAAAAACACGGAAGGCACUAUAUCUUAAACGCGCGUCCUCUAUGAGCGUCGCUUUAUAAUUUUAUUGAACGCGCGUUUAGUAGAUAGGGGGAAAUGAAAUCCCCAAAAUUUUGAAAACCCGCCUUGUUCUUUUCUACCUUUUUUCUAUCUUUCAUCUUCACAAUCGUUUCUCUCCUUUCCCUCCUCUCCAAUCCGCUUCUCCCCUAAUCCUGACCUUACUUGUUAAUCGUCUCAUCGGAUCUCUACUCUAGUGUCUCUCUGAAGAUCAAGAAAUUUCAAGCCCUAGUCUCCCUCUGAGGCAGAGACGAAAAGAGAAUGAAACAUGAAGAAUUGACUUAUCGUUGUUACGACUUAUUAUGCUUCUCAAAGCCUUUGAUAAGAACACUGACUCAGAUGCUUCUCAAAGCUUUUUAUAAGCACCCCGUUGGCUUUGCAUACCGAAAAUCGACCCACAUCCUUAAAUUAGGUUUUUUUUUCAUUCCUCAAAUUAUGACCCACAUCCUCCAUAGAUCGAUCCUUAUUGCUUCAUUUCUCACAAGAAAUUGAACACUUUACAUUCAUAGGGCAACAAAAUCAACUAUUUCUGGAACUUGGAUUUCGGUUCCUAUUGAAAUUGAAGGGGUUCUGGUCACCAUGAUCAAAGGGUUAGAGUCUCGUUUGUCAAUGAAUGCUCACAAGGCCAUUGAAGCUAGGGUUUUUGGGCAAAGCUAGAAUCGAUAUUGUAUCGUUCCUUCAGAAUCACGAAGACGCUGAUUGCAAUGGAGUGUAGACAUGGUUAACAGAAGACGAGGAAACAUGAGUGAAAUCUGGAAAUCAGGUAAAAAUGAUAACUAGUCUUUGUUCACGCUCCUCUCCAAGCUAAUCGAGUUCCAUUUUUUUCUUAUCUGACUCGCUUGACCAUAGUAAUGGUUAGUAGAGUUCCACUCUUUUCUUCUUUCUUGCUUCCACUUCAUUUAGUGGUGUUUGGCACUAUGGUUGAUUUGUAAUUUUUGCUUCUUGGAUUAUGAAAUCAAUUCCUCAUGGUUUAAGUUACGGUAUUCCCUAUUAGUAAUUAGAUUUUUUUUGCUCAUGUCAAUUGAUUAGUUUCAGUGAAAAUAUUAAGUAAUCAUAAUCGAAAUAAUCCAACCCAUCUAACUAUGUGGACUUUUCUUUUUUUCAUCUAACAGGGAGUUACAUGAAUUGUGAACCACUGUGAAUUAUUAGAAUUGAUAUGUGAAUCUUUCAAUGGUGGAUAGAGGAACUCCAACUGCUUUCCAGAUCACAUAUUUGUCAAAUAUAACAAAGCUCCCAGUCCUAUUGAAACUAAUAAUGGCAUGGAGGGUAGAGUUGGAAAGAUGAAAUUGAACAACAUAAUUUGAACAUGGUGUCCUAAGGUCGAGAAGAUUUAUGGCCCUGGAAAUCAGUAUGUGAUGGCUACAAAAAUGAUUCUCCAAUUAUGUGAUCCCAUUUGUGAAAAAAAACAAAAUUUUAACAAAUUUAAUAUAAAAACCUAACUAUUUUUGUAUAUUGACACUUGACAGAACAGUGAGGCUAAGGUAUCCAUUGGCAUGCCUGCAGGGCUAUCUGCAGUUCUUGAGCUUCAUGACAAAUAUGCUAGUCCAGUUCACAUAGCUGCAGAUCUGCUUUCUCAGGUUGCUUUUUCAGAUAGCCGGUUGUUCCUCUUAAUCACUAGUAUUAUUUAUGUAAAAUGAUGGUGUGAUGUUAUUUUAAUCAAGAAAUCACCAAGUAAUGGUAGAGGUUAGUUUUUGUUUUUCUAUUCUAUUUUCAGUUUAUUUUUUAUAAUAUGUUUUUGACUUUUAACAACUUGAAUCUUAUUGGUUUUCAACUCUCAGACGAUUACUUUUUCUAACAAGUAGGCACCCGAACACAGUCACCAUCUAGUUCCAGUAGGGAACCAGAAGUAUAAAAUUUAUCUUUAUAAUUGUUUAUGUAAAAGGCAUGAAUACCCUCAUCAACCCCAACAUUGAAAAUAACCCAAAAAACUUGUCCAAUUCCUAAUGAGUUGCCUCUUGACCAUGUUUUAUUUAUAUUUUCAUUAACAUUUUUUUUCAGAGUCGUACAGACCGAAUUAUAUUCAAGCUAUUUGGAAAAGAUCCUAAUGAGUUGCCUCUUGUUCUCCAGAAUCAUAGUUUUGUAGACUUUGGGUUUUGGCUAUUAAUUAUUAUUACUGGAUUAGGUUUAACUAAUUUUGAGUAAAUUUCAGAUUCUUGACUGGUUCUUACACAGUCGUACUAAUAUUGAAAGUUACAUUCAGCCUGGAUGUAUCAUAUUAGCAGUUUAUCUUUGAAUGGACAAUUCCUAUUGGGAUGAGGUAAAUCAAUCUAUUCAGCAAAUAUCUUGUUAUGAUGGAUCAAAUAAACUUACACCUUUUGUUAUGAUGCAACUUUGCUAUGAUUUGAGCACCAAUUUAAGCAUCCAAUAAUUCUUUCUAGAGAACGGGAUGGAUUUAUACUAUGUCAGUUCUUAUCGGUGUUUACAUGUUUUAUUUUAUUGCAUCAGUAUCAUCAACUAUUUUAUUUUUAUCUAGACCAUUGACCCCCAACAUGGACCAAGUGCUACUUGGAAAUUGCUCAUAUUGGUAGUUGUUCUUAUUAGUAUUAGUUGUCAAUUGCUAAUGUGUUGAAUUAUUUAAUGCAUCUGUCAACUGUCAUGGUUGAAUACGAAAUGGAGCUGUAUUCUGAAUCGUGCACAGUUACAUAUGAGCCUGUUAGAACCAUUCAUGGCAUUCAGAAGAGUUAUGCUUCAAAUUGUAAGUUGUAAAGACUACACUGUCCAACAUCUUUAGGAAAUUUGUACACCAAAUGAUAAGAAUCAUUCUCCUGGAAAUCCAGAUGUUGCAAGUGAGAAAAUAUUGCCCUAUUUUUGUCGUUCUUCCAUUUUUCAUGUUGCUCCAAUUGCUAAGUGUGCACCAGUUAAUUUAUGCAAAUUAUAUAUAGGCUUUGGAAUCUUACUGGAACAUAGAAGACUACAUUUAGUUGGAUUUUCUCAGUUGCUUUAUGUGAGUUUUUUUACCAAUGCAUCAUGUAAUCUGAUUGCUUAUUUAUCCAUCACUUAUUUUCUCGAUUGAUAGGAGCUAUACUAUGACUUUGAUCUUGGUGUAUCACCAGCGAAUUUUCGUGAUAUUUUGCUGCAUAGUCAUGCUCUUGAAGGCAUAACAAUGUCUAUGGUAAUUAAUCCUUAGAAAAGUCUUCUCUAGUAUUUGUACUGAUAUUCGUUUAUAAAUAGUAAGGCACCUAUAGUCAUUUCAUCAUUUCAUGUGAAUUUUAAUAUUUUUGUUUGUCUUUAGUUCAUGAUGCAUUCUUUGAGUACUAUAUCAGUUGAUUAUUGUUGCUGAUUCAUGGAGUUUAACCGCAGGUUCACUCUUUUCUUCCCUUAAGAGUUUAUAAAUAGUUCAUGAUGCUUUAACCUCUGUUUUCUUGCGAUAUGGAGCUCUUUGUUCACGACUAUGGCUGAACCUGUUGAUGUUGUUAAUGUAGUCGUCCAUGACUUGUUCGAGGAAAGUCCUGAAUGAACGCCAAAACCUUUUUUCUUCGAAGCUAAUUCCACCCAUGUCAAGGAGUACGUGUUUCAUGUUUCUUGUUCUUUUCCUCUUUAUUUUUAUAACUUGUUGCCGCUGGAAUAUUCUUUAUUUUUAUGUUUACAAUUUCCCUUCCAUCUGAUCUUAGAUUAACUUUGNCAUGCUGGUAUUAAGGAGUUGACUUCUACUCGCCAAAAAAUUACUAGUCAAGUUCAGGGUAUGACUCAAGAUCUUGCUGGAGCUACUGUUGACCGGGUCUGGAACGAAAUCGCAGCGCCGUGACGCCGAAUCCGAACCAGCCCUCGCGUGUUUGGCUUCCAAGUGGAUUAAGGGUAAAAUGGUAACUGUCAUUCCUUGAAGAGAUGGAAUGAAAAAAUAAGGGUCUCAUAUGGUAUGGAAUGACAUUCCUUCGUUAAUGGUUUUUUCCUUUCCAGUUUAUCAACCAAGCAACAUUUUUUACUUCUAACUUUAUCAAAAUGUUAUUUUAAAUCAUAGCCUUUAUUAAAGUGUUGGUUGACUUUUUAUUGAUAUCUCUACUUCUAACUUUAUCUUUAGCCUUUAAUAUAGUAGUGGCAUGAUUUAAUAUGUGUUUUAUACAGAAGCGGGAUAAUUUGGGAGAAAGGGUUAUGUCUUUAGCUUUUGAUGUUAUAUCUCGACUUCUAGAAAUAGCCCCAGUGAGUUUUCAUUCUAUUCCUUCUUAUAAAUGAAUUAUAAUCAUCUGGAAACAGGGAUGGAGACUUGUUUCACCACUUUUCAUCUUUGCUGUAGUCUGCAAUUUUUCCAGCAAUAGUAAUGAAUGAAAAGGUUUGAUAGUUAUUGCUUUAUUAUUUUUGUUUGUUAUUAUUAUAAGUAUUAUGAUGGUUGUUAAUUGAAAAUGCAUUUGCAUCAAAAUCCUAACUGCAAGUAAGUAAUGUUUACAUUGAAAUAAUUUCUUCUUUAGGAGUAGGAUAUUAUGGAGUGGGAGGAAGAUUCAGAUGAGUACAUAAGAAAAAAUCUCCCUUAUGAACUGGUAUGCACUUGUUCAAAUUGUUUAUUGGUUAUACGAAUUCAACCAACAGUAACUAAUUGUGAGCCUGUGAAGUAUUCUGAUGGUCAACAACAUGUAAAUGAAGAAGAGGUUGUUGGUGAGGCAUUUGAAGAUUCUGUUUUGCAAAAACUUCAAAAGGUUUGACUAAUUGACUUUCACUUCAAUGUAUCUUUAAUUCUUGAUUUUCCUUUUUGACAGAAUAACUUAUUCCUUUUUUUGCAGGGUACUGAGAGACAAAAAUGAGUUUUUGCAGAAUAUCUAGAAUUAAAAUUUCAAUAUUGCUACUAGAAUAUGAGUACAUUGAUUAUGUUAUGACAGAAAGAUUGGUGACAAAAUAUCUAGAAUUUAAAUUCCAACAUAACACAUGAAAGGAGAACAAGAAGGAUGUUUCUAUAGAAGAACUGUUGUCGAUUUCAAUAAGUAAGAAUAUCGUGAAUAUGGGUAGCUACUUUUUUAUUUUUAUUUUUUAAAUUUUGUUACAGAUUAAUGAAUGGGAAAUGGAUUGUGGAUGACAAUUUAGAAUAUAGUGGCCAUACAAGGGUAACCAUUUUGAAAUGUUAUAAGUUUUUUUUUAAUAUUUAUAUUAUUGUUAUUAUUACUUUUAAAUAUUUGCUUUAAUGUUUGAAUUAACUUUUUUCUUUCUUUGUUUUCAUUUUUGGUUGAAUUGUUUAUAUUCUGCAGCAUAUGGGUGAUUUUAAUUAUCCAAGAUUAGCUUACUUUGUUGCUGCAACAUCUGGUUCAAACAAAGUACAAUGCCAAAAAGUGCUUGAAGAGCUAGAUGUAAGUCACAUUUAAUGUUCCAUAAAGGUUUUCUGCUUCUUUUUGCCCAAAAAAGUUUCUCAAAUACUUGGUUCUCAUUUUUUCAUUAUAUUCAAUCUAGGUUUACAAACAAUUGAGACUUAGUCUUGAGUUAUUAAAGAAAGAAAUGGAGAUACAAAGGAUUCUGAUUAGCUCCAACUUUACUGGUUUAUGGUGAAGGGGUAUUUUAGUAAUUACCCCUUCCUAUACAAUGUUUUUUUUUGUUUCUAUGUAUUUUGUGCAUCAGGUAAAGUUGAUGGAAGAAAGGAAUAUGAAGCCACUUGAUUUAAAUCUUGCAGCAUUAUCAGCAAGAUGCAGUAAAGACUUGGAGUUGAAUUUGGCUAAGUCAUUAUUGAGUGAGAUGGGCCAAUGUACAACUGCUUAUCCAUAUAAUCAGCUAUUUAGAGCAUUAGUCUUAAAGAAUUAUGAAAGGCAAGAUGCAACUUUACUUAGUUGGAAUUUGAUGUACAUAGUAGAUUAGAUGCAAAUUUAUAUAUUGUAAGAAAUAGAAUUGUAUGACAUUAAAUUUAUGCAAUGGAUUCUAUUUUUUGUAUAUGAUCUUUUAUUUUCUAUUAUGAAACAUUAAAUACAAAUUUAAUUUGAAAAUUAGUAAAUCUAUAAAGAAUAUUUUUUUUAAAACAUUUAUAAUUAUGAUACGCAAAAAUGUGUGUCAUCUUCAUUUAUGACAUGGCCUUUCUUGACAGAGGCUUUCUUGAUACGCAUUGCGUGUCAUUAACACGCGCGUCAUAAGGUUACGACACGUGAAUGCGUAUCGUCUUCCUUUAUGACAGGGCCUUCCUUGAUACGCAUUGCGUGUCGUAACCGCGCGUCGUAAAUGCGCGUCAUAAAUGCACGUCGUAAAUGCGCGUCGUCUCUCUUUAUGACAGGGCCUUCCUUGACACGCAUUUGCGCGUCGUCUGAGCGUUUUACGACGCGCAAUGAGCGUCGUAAAAGGCCUUUUUUCUAGUAGUGAGUGGUUUACAGAAAAACUGUUUGAUGUUUUUCGGCAUGUAGAACGAAGCUUGUGAUUUGCAAUCAUAAGAAAAUUUUCGAAAGAUCUUGGAGUCGAUUUUGAGAAUUGGGGAGUACUGUUCGCAAGCUUGGGGUCGAUCUUUACUGAAAAGCGAAAUGUCGACGGAUAACAAAUUAGAUUUUCGGUUUGAUAUCAAUUUUGGGUUCGAUUUUGUGAUUUUGUGAUAUUAAUUUUGAUACUUCGUUAAAUCGGUGACGAAUUUGGUUUCAAUCAGACAGAUGAAGUCUUGAGCCUAGAUUAAAUGUUCGAAGGUUGUUACCAAGAGUCAAUAAUCGGGAUCGAUUUUGUGCUUGUUUAUGUGUUUGUUCGUGUUUACAAGGAAGCUUGAUUUUGGGUUGCUGAUUGAAAAACGAAAGAGUGAAAUUUCGUAAUUUGGAUGAUUGGUUUUUAGCUUUAGCUGUCGGUGUUGAAUAACUGGAAGAACUGAAAAAUUUUGGGUUCGCAUAUCGUUUUUUUUAAUUGGAGGUCAAGAUCGUUUGCAACUAGAUUCGCAUUUGUGUGAAUCAAAAUCGGAUUCGCAUAUAAAGAUGUAAUAUGGAGUUUGCAUCUGGGUUUCAAAAGCAAUUCACAUAUAAAAGCAAAAGGAUUCACAUUUGGUUACUCGAGGUAGAGAUGCGAAGUUUUCAUGUUGUAAAUUGGUUGAUUUGUUUAAUGGUCAAACAAGAUUCGCAAUUGGUUGAAUGGGUUGGUAUCAAAGUGAUUCAUUCGCAUUCAUGUGUCAGUAUGCGAAUGUUUUGCAAGUGAUUUGCGAAGAUUAGCCUGAAAGAGUUUGUUGAACGUGCGAAGACUUUGACUGUGACAUAUUCGUGAAUUGGGGAAGACAACAAAAUUUUCGAAAACAGUCCCUACAGUUUCUCAUUUUUGGAAAUAAAUACCCAAUUUCGCAAAUAGCAAUAAAAGCUGAGAAAUUGCAACAUUUUCAGUUCUGGUCCUUGCAGUUUGUGCGAAUUUUCACUUAAUGCCCGGUUUCGCAAAUGGUCUAGAGUUCCGCAUAUUUGACUGUUUUAGGCGCAACGAGUCCCUGCAAGUUUCAGAAAGUGACAAUUUUUACCCGGAUUUUGAAAAAUAUUGCAACUUUCACCCAAAAAGUCAAAAUUUUUCAUAAAUUGAAAAUUUUUUGUGGUUUUUUCGUGAUUGUUGUUCAAUGCAAGAUUUUUGGUGAUUCAUUUUUGGUACACAUCAAGGGGGAGUAUUGUGAAGAUUAUUCCUCGGGUGCUUCUCAUCCUUAGUGGGUUUUAUAAUCAUUUUUUUGAUUAUAAAAGGGGGAGAAAUGUUGGGUAUUCGAAGCUUCUCGGGUUUGUUGAACAUUCAUUUGCGGAUUUGAAGACCGAUGUUACUUCGAGGGGGAGUUUGGUCUUGAUCGCGCUAGCUCGUUGGAGAUUAAAGUCGGACAUCCAAUCCUAACUUUGAGGGGGAGAAUGUUAGGGUGCAAAGUCAUGCUUGGAUGUAGUGUUUAGGCUUUCCUCUUUGUAUGUGUAAAUGGGUUGAGUCUUUUCCUAUAAAUAGGAAGUGAGUAACUUCCAUUAUGUAAGAGUCCAUUUUGGAGUGUUAGACUAGAGAGAGAAUUCGUAUACAAACCCAUUUGUAUAAUCUUUCUAGAUCUAAUAAGAGCUUACAAAGAUUUAUUUACUCCUUGUGUUCUUGAUUUUACAUAAUGAAUCACUAGAUCUUUCUAAUUCCGCACAUGCCAUCAUAAUCAACACCACUACAAAAAGUCAUAAUUACCGGCUAAGCGGAAAAAAAGGGUAAAAGUUUCAAAAAUUGUCGGUAAUUUGGACUUUACUUUCAAAAAAAUAAAGUUUAAAACUUUAUUUUCAAAUGGAUGAAAAUAUUGGGACUUUACUGUAUAUAUCCCUAAGAAAACUAUAAUCAUGAACCUUUUUCAAUUUGUAUUAUUUUUUUACGAUUUUUUCAUUAUAUAUUUACGUGUGUAAACCAUGGAUAAAGUAUCUGACUUUAAGCAUACCUCAUAUUUUUAAGAGAAAAUAUAUAUAUCAUAGUCAUUUUAAAAAAAUUACCAAAAAAUAGCAAAAAAAUAAAAAAGAUUCCUUUUAACCACAAUUUCCGCAAAUGACGUCAUCCGCUAAACACGAUAUCAUCUACGAUUAUUCUUUUCCGUAAAAUAACAUUUUUAACUGCAAAAAUGCAGGUUUAAUCUGCAGUUGCUGAAGUCACCGAUGACAGGCGAUAUCAUUAUUUCUUUAAAGGCUUCACUACUAGAAAAAUCCUAAUUAGUGAGUACAACAAUUUUGGUCACUAAAAAUAGAGGUGUUGUCAGUAAAACGAUUUUCUAACACUUGUGUUUCAUGACAUAUAUUAUUACAGAAAUGGUAAUGCAGUUUGAAAGGUGUUAUGGUGUAUCAUUGCGAAUUGAAAGGAGAAUAUAACACUUUUUAAAGUAGAUUGGUAUUGUUGGAAAUGCACGACACUCGCAUAUAUAUGUGCUUUGUGUCGGGUCAAGGUUAUGCUUAACCUUAGUCAACGGUAAAAAUUCACAAUGCUUAGUAUAUUUAUUAUUACAACGCAUUAAGGUGUUCGGUGUUGGAGACAUGUAGCGUGGAGGAGACACGUGCUAGGGAAUUGAGGUGUGUGGCUCUCUAGACAGUUAUAUGGGCGUGGUGCGCCCAUAGAGUGCCACAACGCGUUUCCUCAUAAUUCUUUAAUGUUGCAAAGCCCAUUAGGCUUCCCCAGGGCGAGCGACUAUGGAGUAAGGAGUAUUCGGUCUAAACGGAGAGUACAUGGAUUUGAUAAAUUAUAUAAAAUUAAUUCUAGGAAAAUUAUAUAUAUAACAAAUAUCACAACUUUUUUCAAACUUAAAAAAAAAUAGAUAAAUAUCAAUAACACUUAAUGUUUUUUCUUUCUAAAACAAGGGUUAUUGGAACCAGUGUUAGUUGUUAGAAUAUGAACUCAAUAGUAAGCUUGAUAGAUGAAUUCCCCGGUGGAAUUCUUGACUUGGUUAACCAGGAGGUUUAUGAACCCUAGUCUAUGUAAUUGUCAUAUAUUUUAAAAUGAACUAACGGAUUACAGGAUUAAGUCGUUAUGUGAUUGUUUUAGGGAGCUUGACGAGUUUGGUAACAAAUGGUUACCGAGUUUAGCUGAGUUUAGCUGGUGAUCAAGUAAUUAAUCAUCGUGGUUGAGUUGGUUGAGUUGCAUUAUAGAUACACUAGGCUAUAUAUAUAUUAAAUAAUUAAUCUACUUAUGUUGGUUGUGAGUAGUGGAAUGCUGGUGAAGCCGUUUAUGGCUAAAAGUAAUGGAGAAUUGACAUAGUGAUGUAUUAUUGGAAUGUAUACAAACGGUUUAGUUUAUGACCAUUGAAGUGUGAAAAAAGUUUCUUACUAUAUAAUAUGUGACAACCCGAAAUUUCUAUCUUGUACAAGAGACCAAUUGAAUCAAAGUUAGACUCGUUUUACUAGCUUUUAGCACUGUUUGGGGUCUAUUUGAGUGUUCUAAACCUAGUACAAUUAAGGUGGGAACCUAGAAAUGGGAUAACAUGAUGCACAUCACGCAAAAUCGGGCCAAACACUCCAAAACAUGGAGUGUGUGGCCGCACACUUGAGUGUACGGCAACACACGGGUGUGUGCGGCCGCACACCCAUCCCAACCACACACUCUUGCCUAUAUAUGCCAUUCUUAGUCAUUUUUGAACACUUUUCCUACUCCUUCAAAGCUGGAACACGUUUUCUCUCAAGUAUCAUCCAAAUCUUCAUCUUGAUCUUCAUAAAAGUAAGUAAUCCCUCCUAUGACUUGUUGAUUCUUGAACUUAACUAGCCUUCUUCCCCACUUAGAUCCAUGAAAACACGUUUUUGGUGUAGAUCUUCAAAAACACCAAGAACACAUACUAAGUUUUGGACUCUAAUCACCUGUUUCAAGCCUAUAUAACAUGUAUAUACUUGUUAUACCUGGUUAUAUGUUAAGAACACUUGAUGGUAUGCUUGAAAAACUUGAGUUUAUCAUCUUCAUGAAGGGUGUGCGGCCGCACACCUUCAUAGUGGCCGCACACACCCUUUUUAGGUCCUAAAAUGGCAAUGAACUCCAUAUAAGGCUAGAAUAUGAAGUGAGAAACCUUCCUAGAUGGGUCUUAAGGCCUUAGAAUAUGUUUUGGCACACUUCAUGGGGAGUGUGCGGGCGCACACACAUCCUGGCUGCACACACACACACACACUAAUAUGGUGUAUUUUGACCAUACACUCCCUUGUAUAGCCAUACACCCCUUAUAUACAAUCAUAUAUGGUUGUAACACUUCAAUAUAAGUGUUUACUAGCCCCUAAGGUGGUCCCAAUUCUGUAAUUAGUUGCUUCAAAAACUAAUUGUAUACAUACAUAUGUCGUUAUAUGGUUAAUAGGAUUCGUUUGUGCUCAAGUCCACAAUUGACAUUCAACCCCCUAAACCGAUCCUACCGUCGCAUCACUCACUAACAGGUGAGUUCAUACCUGUCACACCCCAAAACCAAGAACGGUGGAAACCUUCUAGGGCGGAGGACGUCAUGUACAGUAUCACAACAAUGAAAAGUAGUAAACAAGUAACAACAUCAUCCAUUGCAUUAAUAAUAUAAUUAUAAUACAAGUGUGUUUUGUCAAAUUUUGAUAAACACUAAAGCAUAAAUCAAAAUGAAUGAUGAGUCUUGAACGAGCUCCAUCUUCUCUAAACCUUGCAUCGGUACCUGUCUAUGUUUGACCUGAGGAUACAAGUUAUUUUUAAAUUGAGUAUAAGCUUUGAAGCUGGUGAGAUCAUAAGUAUUUUAGUGUCUUAAUGUAUAUGUAAGAAAUUGUUUGUAUAUGAACUGUAAGUAUGGAAAAUGUAUACGAACUGUAAGUGUAAAAAUGUUUGUAAAAC